This 49634-nucleotide long non-coding RNA is filed under the name Daucus carota (carrot). Its description in RNAcentral is "long non-coding RNA (DCAR_LNC000084)". The record is from RNAcentral. Lineage: Eukaryota; Viridiplantae; Streptophyta; Magnoliopsida; Apiales; Apiaceae.
AUAUUAAAUAAUUUUAGCUUAUGAAAAAUAUUUGAAUUUUGAAGAGGUUCAGAUAUUUUAAAUUGUAUCUGCAAACUUUUCAAGUGGGUUAGAUUAUUAAUCUCGGCCAAAAUGGGUUUAGCAACAGCAGAGCUAUCAUCACGCCAAAUCUCAAAGCCAUGGGGUAUAUGCAAUUCUUCAAGUCUGGAUAGGCUGGAAAUGGUAUUUGGCAUGAUUCUCAAUCCUUCCCCCGUAAUUUCUAGCUUUUGAAGGUAUUUCAGCUUUGAUAAAUCCAGAGGAUCUAGAAAAAUACCAUACAAAAUGCAAAGAGUUUGUAGGUUUUCAGGAAAAAAGCCAACAUUUUUGUUGUUAAUGUGAGUCACCUGACUCAGGUCACAACAAUCUAAAACCAACGUCCUUAGUUUACCCAAGGAUUGAAGAGUAGUGAACGGAAGCUUUGGAGGAUAACUGAGACCACCUUCAACAUAUAAAAAUCUCAGAUUCGAAGACAUGCUGAAAAAUCUGCCCUCGAGUGCAAAGGCUGAAAAAUCUAUAUCAUUUUUGCAUAGUAUCCACAAGCUAUGCAGAUUUGGGAAUACAAGAUCAUCAGGGAUAUGAAUAUUAUUACCAUCCAGAUCUAGACGUAAAUAUUUGGUAGUCUCAACAUCAGCAACAUCAAGCAACUGCACGUCACAUUUUACCUGUGAAAAUGCAAAUUUUGGAUCUUUGAACGCUAUAGAUCUCCCUACAGCUCUGAUGAGGUCAUGAAGUUUGAUCCUAUCAUCUUUUUUACAAUCGAGCAACAAAGAAGAUGAUCUGAGAGUAUCAACCAUUGAUAGUACCCUAGAUUCCCCAGAUACAAGCUGUGACCCGGUUGCCAACCGGAUAAGCUUCGAGAUCGGGAUGUCAGCAUCUUCGUUGAACAAGCAGCACAAAAAGAGACAUGACUUUGCAUCGUCUGGCAAUUGAUCGAUACUCAAUUUUACACAAAAAUAUACUUCUCGAUCUAUUCCAGAAAUCUUUUCAAAGCUACCCUUCUCAAGUUGUUCAAGUGCAUCCUCCCAUGAACUGAGAGAUUUGAAUUUCAAGGCUUUACCGACUGCAUGAAUUAGGAGUGGUAAACCCUUGCAUUUUUUACACACAUUUUUUGCCAGAGAUUCUUCCUGCAAAGAAUUAAAUCGAGCAGUACCGACCACUGCGCUAAACUGAUCCCACGCUUCAUCAUUUGACAGGGGUUUGAUCUUUACAGGAGUCUUGCAAUUGUUAUGCAAGCAUGCAUCUUUCUCCCGAGAUGUCAAGAGAAUCUUGGAACCCAUAGGACUCUUUCCAUCACCACAUGGAAUUCCAAUAACAUCCAGAGGAAUUUCCUUCCAUACAUCGUCGAGUAUGACGAGUGUCUUGCCUGCAUUCAAUAAACAUUGCUUCAGCUGAGAGGCUCUGCUUUCCGCAUUAUCUUUCGAAUCAAAGGUGCAACCAAGAUGCCCAGCAAUCUGUUCCUGUAGCUGUAUCACAUCCAGAAUUUCAUUACCCACGUUCCCUCUCGUGACCUUGUUAAAGAUCUUCUUCUCCUUGGCUUCUUUCCAUAGUUGUUCCAUCAUCCUGGUUUUCCCUACUCCGGGCAUUCCAUAUAUACCAAGGAUCAGAGAGCUAUCUGUGGUCAACGCUUGCCAUAGCUCCGCAUAAGCAUCUUUCCUGGAUUGAAAAUCCUGGAACUCUGUAGUACUUUUUGGUAAAUUUUCAUUUGGCGCAGGAUGUGCAAUUUCAUCAGCCAAGAGCUCCUUUCCCGAAUUAAUGAGCUCAGUCAGCCUCUCUGUCUUCUUCACCGCCUCUCUGCCGAGUCGAAACCGAGAGACAGGGUUAGGAAUAGGCAGACACUGAAUGAACCUCCAUGAAUGUCUGUUUUUGUAUCUUUCUGCAAACUCUUGGGCACUCUCCUUGAUUUCUUCAGCCUCUUUCUGCCACUUGAAUACACGAUCCUCCAUAAUUUUACCAUUAGCUCUUUCUGCAGCAACUUUUGUGGACACCCUUUCCUCCUCAGUGUUAGCUUUUUCGACUUGGGAGUCGAGAGUCUUGACAAGAUCCUUGUAACAGAACAUGUAACGGAAUCCACGGAAGAUGGUGUCAACUGCAGCAUCAGAUAUUCUGUCCACAAGUUUCCCCACGAAUGGAAUGUCAGAUAAACCAACCAUGAUUCUUACUUGCUUCUAAUUUUUUUUCCUGUAAUUGUGUAACAAGAUGCAGUAGAACAACUUAAAAUGCAAUUAAAGAAUAAGAGGGGAGAAGAAAAGGAGCAAACGGAACAGGAAGUCAAGCUGAGCAGUUGAAUAGUAAGGGAGCAGAAGAGCAGCAAGAAUGAGUGGUGGAUACACUGCGUUAUCUUGUAAUAUGACAAUACAAACAAACAAAGAUGAGAGUUUGAUUCUAUGAGUUGAAAUUUCAAAGCUACUUUAAAUCAAAUAGUAAAAUUAAAAGAUGCACAGUGGAAAACUUUGCUGGACAAUAAUUCUCCCAACAUUAUUGAGUUUCAAAAGGUAUAAUUUAAGUAAGGAUUGGAUCCCUAAGACACAUAUAUAAUUAAGUAGCAUACGUUUGCCGGAGAAAAAUUUAUGAAAAAUUACUUCUAGGUUUCACGUCCAACGCUUUUUUCACAAUGAACAUAUGCUACUAUUAUAUGUUCUGGACUACCCUUUAAGUAAAUGGUGGACCAAUUGAGUUUCAGAAAGCAUCAAUCUAAGUAAAUGGGUGGACCAAAAAAGCUCCGCGGCAGCCUUGUUUUCUUAUCGUUCCAGCUAGUCAAAAUACAUUAAGAGCAUUUUUGUUUAAACUUUUAAGUAAUGAUUCUCACUCUCAAGUUAAAGUUUCUACACGCGGUUUAAAGUUUAAACCGUACGUCUACACUUACGAGGUCUUGUCCUGUUGUCAUUUUGCAUAGCUUGGUGAAUCGGACUAUGGCACGGUGUUCUGUUGUUCAGUUUUCGUUGUUGAAUGGUGUACUGCCUAAGGACACAGCCUUAAAAAUUUUUACUAAUUGAAGUUUGGGAGGGUUAGGUUGUCCAAGUAUUUUAACUUCAUGGUCGGAUGUUAUUUUGAGUUUUAUAAAACUUGUUUCACAUGCAAUGCAAUCAAUUCUCCUUUGUAACUCAUUCAAGGUUGCAACAAUUUGUUUAUGUCUCAGAUGUAAUUUCAAAAAUGUUUGGUAAAACAACUGCAGUAGUUAGUUACUCUGCAGUGCUCGAUCAUCACCUCGGUGAUACAGUUUCCAUUACUGGUAUUGGGUAAUAAACAGAUUGGUGCUCAUUUUGGACUAGUUGAUGAAUUAUACAUUCACACAUUUGGACUACUCGAAUGCUAGUAAUCUUGAGCAAGUCUAAUAGUUACCUAUCCUAUUACUUAUAAAUAAUAUUAAAUAAUAUAAAAUAAUGAGUGCUAGUAUGUCUUAGUGAUUUAGGUAAUCUAUUUUAGUGUCAACUCCAAUAGUAAUCCUUCUAUUUGUUCUCCUAAGAUUAUUUUAAUAAUAAAUUUGAGAGAGAAAAAGGGGAAAAGAAGAGAAUAGACAAAGAAAAAGGAGAGAGAUGAUUAUUUUAUUCAUAAAUAUUAAAUAGAUAAUGCCUAGGGGCUACUUAUAAAUAGGUAAUGGCUAGGAGAAUUAAGGUUGUGCGAGCGAUUUAGGAUAACACUAGGAUAGUGUUGGAGUGCAUUUUUUUGACACAUUACCUAAAUGUGAGUUUAGGACAUCAUAUAAGUAACCUAUUGGACUUGCUCUGGCCUCCUUUUUAAUAUUUCAUCAUAAAGGGAUAAUUAAAUUAUAGCUCUAUGAACUAUUGACGUUUUAUUGUCUAGGUUCCUGAAUUAAAGAUUCGGUAUUUUAGGUCACUUAACUUUUCUGUUUUCUUAUCUAAGUCCUUCCGUCAAAUAGAUUCUAACGGUGUUAACUAGGGUUCUUGAUGUUACUACGGAUCCAAGCAAUUUUGAAGGUGUUAGUGAUAUCCAAAUUUAAAGUUCAAGUAGUCAAAUUAAAGUUUGAAUCACUAGCGACCCUCAUAUGACACCAAUUUUCACAAAUUGGAUUUAAUUUAGAAAACCCUAAAUUAGACCAUAAAUUUAAGGUUUGUUAGGUCCAAAGUAUCGUAGAAGGGGGGGUUGAAUACGAUACUCACUACAAUUUAAAAUUCUUUCGAAUCUUGCGGAUAAAUAAAUUGCAGUCUGUAAUGGGUUUCGUGUUCCGGAUAUUUAUUGGGUCGGUUUCUGAGGAUAUGAAAAUAUUAAACCAACACACAAUAUUUUCCAAGGUAUAUCUGUAUAUUGAUAAAUACCUCGAAGGGUGCUACAAAUCCAAACCCGAAGGUUGGCUACAAUGACCACUACUCUCAAUAUUACAAACUCUAACCGCUACGGAUAUUUCUAUUACAAAGCUAGACUAGAGUGUAUAUAUAGUGGGAGUAGCCGUGCAGAGCACUUGGCCAUUUCAUCCCGAAGGAUGAUCUAAAUUGUGAGAACCACAAUCACAUAUUUAUAGGCUUUCAUAAACUAACCAUGGUUAACGAGUUCGUCCUGGACGACUUGAGUUCGUCCUGGACGAGUUCGAUUUAUCAAAAUAAAUCUAACUCCAAAUGUAUGCAGGAAGUGGCGCCAACUUUAUAUACAUAUAUAUUUGUAUAUAUAUAUAACAAAGUUGCGCCUCAAUCACCACUUACUGCAUUGCCUUUACUUGGAAUAAAUCUAAGUAGAUGGUGUGAAGGAGAGUGCAAGGACAGGAGGCGCAACAUUUGACUUUUGGUCAAAUGUUGCGCUUCAACCUUCAGUAUACAAUGCUCUCUUGAAUUUGCACUUAGAGAAUUCUUCAGGGAGGAAAGUUGCGCUUGGACGAGAGUGAGAGUGGGUGGCGCCAACUUUGACCUCGAGUCAAACGUUGCGCCCACACCGGUAUAUGUACACUGUAUGUAUUAUGGGGAGCCUUGCCUUAGUUUCUUUAAACCACAAUUUGAAUUGGCGCCUCACUAGUGAAGGAACUCCCCUUGAUCUCUCUCCUUGGACCACCAUUGACUUGAACUUGCGCCUGUAUAUACACAGAGUGUGUAUAGGCGCAACUUCACUCAACACUUAGCCAAUAUUACUCAAAUGCUUGAGUUGGCGCUGUUGUUCCCACUGUGCACACUCUUAUCUCUUUUUAACUUGCGCUCAAAGGAGCCCUGUAUACUACUGCCUUAGAUUUAUUUCCACUUAGCUUCAACAGUAGAUACCAGGUGCUUUAGGGUUCAUGCACAUGCAAACCCUAGAGUGCCCUAGACACCUGACAUCAUCAUAUGCAUGCAUAAUAUAUAUAAUAUAAUAUAUUAUGUUGUGAUUAUAUUAAUAAAUAAAAGUAUAUAUAAAUAUAUACACACAUAUAUAUUAUUUAUAUGAACAUAUAAUAAUAUAUGUACAUAUAUUUAAAUAUAUUCUCAUAUAUUUAAAUAUAUAUAAUAUAUAAUUAUAUGUAAAUACAAAUGUAAAUAUAUAUAUAAAUAUAUAUAGAGAUAUAUAUAGUUAUUUAUAAAUAUAAAUAUAAACAUAAAUAUAUAUAAAGAAAAGUAUAUAUAAAUAUAUACAUAUAUAUAAUAUUUAUAUAAACAUAUAGUAACAUAUAUAUACACAUAUAUUUAAAUAUAUUCUCAUAUAUUUAAAUAUAUAUAAUAUACAUAUAACUAUGUGUAAAUAUAAAUAUAAAUAUAUAUAUAAAGAUAUAUAUAACUCUCUCUAAAUAUACAUAUAUUUAUGCACAUAAUAUAAUAUAUAUAUACACUUAAUUAUAUAAUUGCUUAUGUAAAAUAUAAAUACAUAUACUAUAUACAUAUAUAUUUAUUUAAAUAUACAUACAUAUAAAUAUACAUAUACAUAUGUUUAAAAACAUAUAUACAUAUAUAUUAUAUAUAUUAUAUUUAAUUAAAUAUACAUAUAUACAUAUAUAUAAAUAUAUUUGUACAUAUACAAAUAUAUAAGUGCACACAUAUAAAAGAUAGGUCACUUCCUGAUAUGGCUUUGUGUGGAAGCUUGACAUAUGACAUUUGAGCAGUAGACUUGAUACAGCUUGCAGAGGCUAGGCAUUUGGCUUGGCUUUGGAACAAAUGACUUGUUAUGACUUGAUCAAUUCUUCGAUUGAUAAAUACUUUGCAAACUCCGUACGUGCUGACGCUUAGUGCACUGGUCUGGUUCACAAGCGACUAACACUGAAGUCAAACAUUGUACCGUCUUUGUCAGCAAACAUUGAUCAGUCGGUUCCGGGUUAGUUUAUGCUUCAGUUUGUUGAUUAUAAAUAACCAACCAAGAUAUAUAGAAAUAUCUUGCUUCAGGGGUUGCACUGAAAUCUUUCGAGUACUUGGACAACAUCUUCAUUGCUUCCACAAUCUUGAAUACUUCAAUCUUUAUUCUUCACUGAGGCAUGAACAUAUUAAUGAACUUCUUCCAGUGAACUUAUUCCUUCAAGACUGUAGAUGGCUUCUUCAACCUUUGUCUUCGUAUCUUCCGAUUCCGGUGCAGGCGUAGUGUUAUUUACUUGUCCUGUUCUAUUGUUGAGUUAUCAUCCCUAUGUAACAGAUAGGGUUGUCUUUACAUUUAGACUUACAAUAUCCCCCUAUUUGUUUGUUAAUCAUAACAAGCAAAUCCUCUGGAGGAUAACUCAACUAACACUAGAAAAAGUAAAGUCCUGGACUAGUAAAUAAUGCUACAAAGUUUCUGGAUCAUAUAAUACAUUUCCAGAUUUCAUGAAUAGAAAUAACAAAUGUGCAUAUCACCUUUAUUUCUCUGGUUCUUGCUUACCUGCCAGAUAAUCCUCAUAGUCUGUCUUGAAGAGAAUUCAAAACAUUCCAUUAUGCAAAGAACAAUCAGCAGCUUCAUUGAAUUCUUCAGUGGUAAUGAAUAAGUUCCUGUCUACCACUUACUGAAGAAUAAAUGUAUCACCUUAUACUUCUCCUCCCGUUACCUUGAUCAGGUUCCCCUUAGUGAUAAGUAGUUGUCUCCCCUUAGAUGAAAGAUCAAUCCUCCUCCUUAGUUGAAAGAAGAAUCUCCCCCUCAGUAGUACACAGCUAAAGAGUAGUUUAAUCCCCCUUAGUUGUAGACAGCAGAAGAAAGCUAACUUACUUUUUCUUCCCCCUUUCAUAUAUUCUCCCCCUAAAUAUAUUCUCCCCCUUAGUUGUGGAAUCCUCCGAGGAUAUGUGGUAUCAAAUAUGGUCAAGGAACGUGUACAAUACUUCCUGUACCAAAAGAUAAUCUCCCCAUAGAGAACUAAACAACGCUAAAGCUGGGGUCGAAGAAAGAGUUCAGAAGAAGGGUUUACUUUGAUUGGGUUGGUCCCUAUGCUGAAAGAAUAGGUUCCAAACGGAAAAGUAAUGAGUAAAAACUGACAUUCCAGUAACAACAUCCACUUUGUCUUUAGGUAUAAAUUUGGUAAUUAGUGGGUGUCUCACUAAAAUGUUCUGCAGGUGUAUCACUCAACACUCAAUUUUCUCUCGGUUUUUGGGUAAGGGUGUCACUCACGAGUUCUGUAAGUGUAUCCCUCCACACAAAUACUGAGCUUCCAAAAUGCUGAGUACCUGCAAGAAAAUCACCUUAGCCACCCUUAAAGGGGGUCACCGGUGGUGCAAUGGGAGUUCGUAAUUCCCAGUCCCUGCAGACUCAUCAGAUAAAUCCGAAUCAUGGUCCACAAGUUGCCAACCACUAAGUGGCUUAUCCAAUUAAGGAUCCAGAGUUGUUUGCUCUGGGAGGUUAGACAAAGGCUUAAUUAUGGCAAAGGCCUAAGUCCUCCUCAAUGUCUGUGAAGACACUUGAUUCAAGAGAAUCAUCAACCAUAAGUUCACACCGUGAAAUGGAAUGAACCGUAGUUGCUUCCGUCAAUUCUUUCAACAACUUGUGAGCUUUCAAUACCAAUUAUUAUUAUAUGUACCUCACAAGUGUUUCACUCUUCUCAAUAUCCUAUGUGUUUGCACUCACUCAUGCUCACAUAUUUCUCAUUCUGAUAUCUCACUGGUUCUUCUCAGAAUCUCACCAAGUGUUUAACUCUCAGUGUUUGGCUCACAGUGUUUCUCUCAGCACUCAAAGUAUGGUCUUCUGUACCUGCAUGAGAAAAUCACCAUAGCCCCUUCAAGAGAGGUCACUGGCGGUGCAAUGGGGUUUCGUAAAUCCCCGAUCCUCAACUGACUCAUCAAUAAAUUGACUCAUAGUCAGAGAGUUGCCGAUCUCCUAUAAAUAGGAAAUCCAUUCCGAUUGGAUCCAGAUCUGUUCUUAUCUGGGGAGGGAGACGAGAAUCCUGAAGAUUUGGCAAUUGAGAUCCUCGUUUCCUCCUUACACCUGUAAAGGCAUCAACCAUCUUAUCUACCGUAAAAUGGUAAAUGAAGAAGUUGCUUCUGGAACAAAACCUUUAACCUUACUGUGCACUCUCUUGUAUUGUGUCCAUAAGAUUUUUUUUUUAGGCUCUUCAUCAGAGUGAUUACUGAUGAUGUGCUUGACUCAAUACAAGAUGCUCUGGCUGACGAGCGAAUUUCAAUGGACUCAUCCUGUUGAGAGAAUGAUUCCAGAGACUGUUUUAUUGCCUUUUCAGCUCUAUAUUCUUUUGAGAGAAUACAGAUGAGCAACAGUUACCUCAAGUUUGAAAACACCUUUUCUUCUUGAGAGGUAGAGCUGUGGGUACACUAUCCCUCACAUCCUUAUUUGCUGCAACAAGUACAGUUUCUCCCUCAUUGACCUCUAGUCUAAUAAGUUCCUUAUUACUCCAGGGGGAAAGUUGGGAUGUGUUCUGAAUUUGGUUUUAUAGUCUGGGAUAAAGAUUGUUGGUUUUCAACCUUAUGACUAUCUAGGAAAGCCAAGAGGCUGAUUAAGUUCCGAAGAACAGAAAGAGAUAUAAAUGCAUUUUAGAAAAUCUAUGAUUUUGAAUGAAAGCAAUUGCAUUUAAUCUUUUGAGGAAAAAUGAAUCAGUUGUGAUUGUAAAAAUGAUUUUCAUAAAGAAUGACAAUCACAACCGAUGAAAGAAUCAAAGUUUUCCAUUAAAAACUGGUUUGAGUACGAGAGUCUGAAUCUAUGCAUAAAAGGUUUAAAUGAACUUGUCUUUGAAAAAGACACAGACUCCUGUUUCUCACUACAAUUUAAAAAAGAAACAAGAAAAUUUAUGCGCUACAGUGUAUAAAGCACUCGCCACACUAAUUAGUGAAAAGGCCUCAUACUAGCACAUCGUCAAAACAGACGCUGCAAGUGACAAAGAUCACCAAGUACACAAAUACAAGAUAAUCAAUGUCUCGUCCUAUGACGCUACAUGUAUAGAUGCAAAAUAUUCUAAGAAAUAUUUAUGAAAUAGAGUAGUGGAUACCAAUUGUUGAAAUCAAUUGAUAAGAAAAUUUCUUUGAAGAAACUCACCACUCCAGAACAUAAAUAUGAGACAGAAUAAAGAUUAUGUUGUCUCCCUUGUACUCAGAAUAUUAAACACCUAAAAUAUAUUAGCACCAGUGGUUUUAAGAAAUAUGCAACAAUAUUUCACCAGUGCCAAUACAUCACAAUCAAUUCACAAAUAAAACAUCAAUAAAGCAUCAAAAAUAGAUACCAAUUAAAUAUUUCAAAAAUGAAUUAAUCAUGCUUCUAUUAUUCUAUCAAAGUCAAUCAUGAAACAAAUAAGCAUAUAAUUGUCAUGGAUCACAAUUUAACUAAGAUAAAAUAAUAAUUACCUACGCAAUAUCAUAUAAUUAUCAGAUCAGCAUAUAACAACUAAAAUCAUGACAAUCAUACAAAGAUAUUCGCAAGCCCGAGGGAAAGUUGAAGAAAAGUUCACGAGUCUUAUACAGAUAAUCAUUAAACACAAGUGAACUCACACAACUCCUCGCAGAAAAUAUUAACACUUAAUAUUAGUGAUCUACAUAUAAGCAUGCAAAAAUAUCACUAACACUAAAAGUAUCACAACUAUAUGCAGUUAGACAUGAAAUAAAAUAUCAAUUAAUAAAUCAUCAAAUAUCCAACACAAAUAGUUAUGCUUCAAGUAUAUACACUAAUAUAAAUGGAUUCAGCCUAGAGAGAAUCUAAGUAACUCCACAAAUACUAGUAUAUCAUGACUAAAUUCUAACUAGAUUCUAACCACAUACCAAUUACUGAUACAAGUCACAAGUCUAGAAACAAAUAAGUCAUGCUUCAGAUUUUAUACCUAUAAAAAUGAAUUCAACCUAGAAAAUAAUCCUAAGUAUGUUCACAAAUACAGAUAUAUCACGACUAGAUUAUGACAAAGUUCUCUACUAGAUACCAAUUGUUGAAGAGGUAUAGAUCAAGAAAAAUAACAUAAUUAAGUCAUGCUUCAUGUCAUCUCUAAUCAUUUAAAUCAUGAACAAAUAAGUCACUUAAUUGUCAUGCAACACAAUUUAAAUAAUUUGAAAUAACAAAUACUCAUGCUAAAACAUAUAAUCACCAUCUAAGCAUGCAAAUCAAUAAACAUGGCAAUCAUAUAUAAUAGCAAAAAGCACGAGGUACUGGAUUUUAAAUAAAUUCACAAGUCCUAUGUAUAGACAAUUUAAUACUCAUGAAUUCAUUCAAGAAAUACGAUAGACAUGCUCAUGAAAGAAGUAAUACCUUAUAGAAAAUAUAGUAUGUGAUCUACUUGCAGUUAAGUAAAGUGAUAAGUUGAAUACCUCUGAGACUUGACAUUUCAGUUGAUGUACCUUUCUUGUACUGAUCAAGUCCAGUGGUUGUUGGCAUAAGUCUUGGCAGGUCUAGAAUCUUCCAAAAUGCGCAUAUUCAAAAGAUCCUUGACUUCCUUUUAUUGCCAUCAUUCUUUAGGCUAACUAGUAGACCAUAAAGAAUUGCAACUUUCCAACAAACUCAUCAUAUCACUAAUCUGCAUUCACUUAGCAAUUAUCUUGCACAAGUGACGUUAGUCCACAUAUAAUAUAAUCAUGGUAUCACAGCACAGAUAGUUGUAUUGUGUGUGCCUUGUAUCAUGAGAGGUAAUAAUUUGGAUACCAAAUAUGACUCUAGCAAACAGAUAUUAAAAUAAUAUGCUAGUCAGAAGUCAUACCAUGUCCGUGACGAUCAUCAGGUGUUGGAUAGCAACUCAUAGAGAGCUGGUGAAGAAAGAGAAUACAAAUUCCGUUGGAUCUGCAACUGCAAAGUCCUUGAAAUGUUGCAUGAAGCUUCAUCUUCUAGCUCACUGUAAUAUCCUGAACCCGAGUCUCGUCAAUGGUGCUUUAGUUCAAUCAUGAAGGUCGUUGAGUCCCCUAAGAUGUAGAGUCCUGAACUUGAAGAUUCUAUUUCCAUCAUCUUCAUAACCUUCUCCUUUGUAGUAACUCUAAGCAACCAAAUUGGCUUGUCCCUCGUAACAGAGCCAAAAACAUCCAGUUGGAAUCUAAAUACCCGACAAGUACUAAGUACUGAAUUGUCAUUAGGUCAGGGUAUCAGACUCCGCACAAUCUGCUUUCAAACUGACUGAGAUCAUCUUGCUGUGCAAUCACUCAAUCUGGAUCCCAUUAAGAGCUUCUGAAUCUUCCUCAAGUUUCACUUCAGAUUGAAACCCAAAGAAAUAACAUCCUUUCACAAUAGCUCUCCCAGUCUUCACUUCACCGUUAGGAACAUUUAAGAACUAGAACCCGGGAAUGAUAUUGACUCCAAACCCUUUGUCUAAGCAGAUACGUUCUUGAUAUGUCCUGUUCAUCUUGUGUGGUGUUGAGUUUGACUAGUGGAUCUACCAAAUGCUCCCCCUAAGCUGUUGCUGGGAUUUCUUUAAUAAUCCUUAUCCUUGCAAAGAGAUUCUGCUUGGAUCUGAAUCAUUAUUAUACCAAUAAUAUCACCUUUAACAGCUUGGAGCAAAGUGUCGUUCAAUGUCCUGUCCAGACUUACAAUCACCUUCUGUUGAUUAAUCACAAUCACCCUGUAGACUGUAGACUCCAUAGAGUAGCCGAGGAAAAUAUUCUUUGAUCUUCAAAUGCAAGACUUGCAAAGAGGCAUUUUCCUCCAAACACAUACCAAGAGUUAGUGUUUGCUUCUGAUUGGCCACUGACAAGAAUGGUGUCUUUCUGGAUUUAUCAAUGAUCAGGGUUCAUCUUGAUCAACCUUCAUUUGUGACGUCUUGUCCUUCGAACACAUACGAACAACACGAAAGAAUCUAGAGUAGUCAAUGAUCAUCGCAAAAAGAUAUCUGGCUUUGUUUGCAGACAUGACAUUAGCUGAUCCGUAGAAAUCCAUACGUAUCAUCUGAAGCGGCUCAGUAAUGUUGAUCAUAUCUUUGCUUCUGUGCGAUGCUCCUUCGACUUCCCUAUUGACAUACCUCAUAAUCUUCAUCCAUAUUGAAUUCCAGAUGAGGUAGUCCUCUCACCAAUUCUCUUCUUACGAAUAGAAAGAGCUCCUUGUUUUGACAUACAAGUGCGAGAGCUUCAAGUGCCAUAGCUAAUACUCAUCUGAUGAGGCUUCACUAUCAAAACAGCUCACUCCAUCUUCAGUUGAAGUUCCAUAUUAGCUACGAGCAAAAUUCACAUCCUUCCUGAUUUGAGAUAAAACACUAUUCCAUGAACUGACAUACUGUCAUUUGUUAGAGAACAGUCUGAUACUAGGAAUUUGUGUGCUUUGACUCUUCCAAGAAAGAUAUGCUUCCAUGAUGACAUUCCAGGAAAACAGGCAUGUCCCGCAAGAGAAUCUUUGUUGUCAUCUUUCAAAGAUUAUUGACGGAACUGCUCACAUGAUCACAUUUGCUAACAGGGUACUUUUGGUGAAUCAUAUGAUUUCAGCUACUCAGCAAACAGAGUGCACCAAAAAUCAUAUGGAACAUAUGUAACCUGCAAUCACAAAUGGAAAGAGUUCUAUGGUCCCCAAUCAUAACUGGGUCCGGAUGGAUUAGAGAUUUUUCUUUAACAGUGGUAACAACAGAAGCAACCUUAACAUGCUAAUUCUUAUCUAGACAUUGCCCUAAUGUGAUUCUCAAACAUGCUUUUCUAAAAUCAAUGCAAGUACAAAGACAUGCAUUCAUGACAUGAAAAUAAGCAGACAUGAUGUUGAAUACACAUGGCAAACAAUCAAAGAUAAGACAAGAGCAAGACAGGCAGUUAUGCAAUUCAGAAGAUUCAGUACUCUCUACUUAAACCAAUUAACACAAGUGCAACAGGUAGCAAGUAGAAUUACAUAUAUUCAAUAAUCUUCUAAAAGCAUAAGGAUCUGAUUCCAAUCUGUUGUUAUAUGGCAUUAUACUAUCUCUAUUACCUAAGUCAGUUUUAGAUCUAACAUGAAGUUCUAAAAGUUCUACUGACACAAGGUAGACAUUCCAUCAUAGAACAAAAUAAAAUCCUUAACAAACAAUUCAGAUUAGAUAAGCAAAUCUAAUUGUACUAGGGAAUCUGAAAGUAAGUGUUUUAACAAAGUUAUACAUGCUAGGAUCAUAACCCCUAAAACUAAGAGUUGUGUUCCAAAGGAAAGCUUCUAAUCUCACCAUUGCAAAUAAUCAAAUCCUAAAUAUUCAUACACAUGUUAAGAAUCUGCUAAAGACACAUGCACAAGAUUAUCAUCAAUCCUAGUUACCAGAACAGUGAUCUAGCAUACUAGUUCAACAUUAUCUAUUGUGAUGCUAUCAUGCUUGUGCUUGUGUGUUAAACAAUUCUACUCAGAGAUUUAUAACAUGCUUUGAAUAUAAAGAAAUAUGUAUUGCAUAGUUAGAAAGAAUUCGUACCUGAGAUGUGCGAGUUGAGUCAUCUUCAGAGAAUGCUAGGAUAGCCAGAUAACCAUAAUCAUCCUUCUCAUCAGCAACUGAUCCAGCUCACACCUUUCCUAAAAUAGCAUAAGAACUUGUUGUGAUGUUUCUUUCAAAACAUCCACUUGAAUUUCAGACAAGCCCUAUCAUCCUUGUUUGUCGAGGCUUCAAUAUAUAUAGCAACCCUUAUUUGCUAAAGAUACCAAACAAUAUUGUGUGUACUGACCAACUCAGUUUUCAAACAACCUGUCGAAUUGAACCCCGAAGAGUCUCUGAAACCAAUGGAUUCCAUCUGAAUCUGACAUGACUAAACCUCUCAGACAGUGUUAUGCUAAUCCUUGAAGUUCUGUCCUCACAUUCUUCAAAAGUGUUAACUUUCGUCGACUUGAGCUUCCUCAAAUUCAGCAGUUACAAACUCUUCUGUUCAAUCCUAAGGUUCUGACAUAAAUGCACGAAACUGAUUUGGUGCGGUAGUAACUCGAUAAUUAUAUCCUUAAACCUCCACAGUUCUCUGUCUUUGGUUCAGUUGAUUCUGGAUGGAUUUAGCAUUGAUACAAUUCACUGUGUAAUUGUAUAUCCCUGAAUCACUGAGUUAGAUUGAAAUCCCUUGAAGAUUCGUCCGUAAAAACUUCUCUUUUCCUACUACCAGUGGUGCCAUUCAAAGUUGACAUUCCGAGCCCUGGGAAGAUGCUUCACUGCAUAUAUAGCAAAUUCCCAUCCUGAUCUGGUGAUCUGAUGAUCAAGUCGGAGUAAUUACUCAGAUCAAGGCCUGAAGUACCUUCUUCAAAAUCCACUUUUAGUAGUACCAAAUUAGUCUUCAAUAGAAUCUUCUUCGAAUCACAAUCAGCUUUGUCGAACAUAGAAAACUGCUUCUAAUAAUCCUUUGAGAAAUCAAUUGGAUUGGGUCAUCAAUGUACUUCCAUUACCGGUUCUGAGAAUCUGGUAUUUGAAAGCCCGGUGUUUGUCUUGUAAUCUGUCAGCCUGAUCUGUCUCAACUAAAUGUCAAUCUGAUUUGUCUUGGAGUAGAAUAAUUAAAAAGGUUACGGGACACUUGAUUAUUUAAACUAAGUUUAAAUUAUAAAGAAAAUAAAUUUAAAAAUAAGUUUUAAAAGAUGAAAGAAAAUAAAGUAUAAAAUAAACUUAGUUAAAUCUAUAAAGUAAAUUUAAUUAUAUUUAAAAAAUAAAUUCAAAUAAAUUCAUAAUAAACUGAAUAAGUUUAGAAUAAAUUUAUUUCAAAUUCAUUUAGUAAAUAUAUUAAAAUUUAUUAGAUAAAUUUAAUUUUUGAAAAUAUUCAAGUGUCUCGUCUCCAAUUAAAUCAUAGCUUCCAGAACAAAUGAAAUUGGACCCUUGAACUUGAACUUAUAUUCAUAAUCAGUUAAAUCCUCUUAAAUUUAUAUUUUAUAUUUUAUCUUAAAUUUAAAUCAUAAACUAUACAAAUUUAAAUAAUAAAUUUAUAAAAAUUUAUGAUAAACUUGAUAAAGUCUAAGAGUAAACUUUACAAGUCUAAAAUAAAUUUAAGCAAAUUUAUUAAAUGAAUUUAGUAAAGUUUAUAAAGUAAAUUUAAUUAAGUUUAUAAGAUAAAUUUAAUUAAUUCAUAAUAAACUCAAUUAAUAAGUUUAAAAUAAAUUAAGUCAAAUUUAUAAAAUAAACUUAUUAAAAUUUAAAGUAUAAAUUUAUAAGUCCCGGUCCAAAGUUCAGUAUCCGACAGAUAAUCCUUGCUUAGGCCUACGGACAAAUUCAGCAACACAAACCGGAAGAACAUUUCCCCUAAUCAAAUAUCAAAAGCUAGGUUCUUGAUUUUCCGUACGAUAAGGAUCCUGAUUUGUAUAUCAAUCAGCCUGGCUCUGAUACCAAUUGUUAGGUCCAAAGUAUCGUAGAAGGGGGGGUUGAAUACGAUACUCACUACAAUUUAAAAUUCUUUCGAAUCUUGCGGAUAAAUAAAUUGCAGUCCUGUAAUGGGUUUCGUGUUCCGGAUAUUUAUUGGGUCGGUUUCUGAGGAUAUGAAAAUAUUAAACCAACACACAAUAUUUUCCAAGGUAUAUCUGUAUAUUGAUAAAUACCUCGAAGGUGCUACAAAUCCAAACCCGAAGGUUGGCUACAAUGACCACUCCUCUAAAUAUUACAAGCCCUAUCCACUACAAAUAUUUAUGGUACAAAACUAGGCUAGGGUGUGUGUAUAUUUGAGAGAGUUUGUGCAUAGCACUUGGCCAUCCAUCCCGAAGGAUGAUGUAAAUUGUGAGAACCACAAUCACAUAUUUAUAGGCUUUCAUAAACUAACCAUGGUUAACGAGUUCGUCCUGGACGGAUUGAGUUCGUCCUGGACGGAUUCGAUUUAACAAAAUAAAUCUAACUCCCAAGUACUUGAAUUGGUGCCAGGAGAUGUUGGUUUGGGGCGCAACAUUUGACCAAGUCAAAUGUUGCGCUUCAACAAUGUUGCGCUUCAUUGCUCCUCUGUUUGGUACUUAGAAAUAAUUCCAGUAACAAAAGUUGCGCCAUGAUUGUUGAUUAGAGGAGCAACAUUUGACCAGGUCAAAUGUUGUUCCAAUAUAGUGCAUCCCUUGUAGAGUUGUGACUUAGAAAUUAUUCUAAGUCACAAAGGGUUAGUGCCAAGAGUUGUUAGUAGAGGAGCAACAUUUGACCGGUCAAAUGUUGCGCCCGGGUCAAAUGUUGCGCCUGGGUCAAAUGUUGCGCCCGGGUCAAACCUUGCGCCUUGGUCAAAUGUUGCGCCAUAGAGUGUGCAAGAGGUAUAUGGUGACUUAGAGAAAUUCUAAGGCAAAUAUGAACUUGCUCCACCAUUGUAAUGCUUCCCCUGUUAUCUCUCAUCUCUUGGGGACGAACUUUGACUUUGGUCAAAGGUUGCGCCUCAAGAGUGCUAUGUCUUCACUGUGAUGUACUUAGAGAAUUUUCUAAGUGAGGAAGAGCUGUUGACUUCGGUCAAAUGUUGUUCCUCACAUAGUAAGAGCUUUCCUUGUUAUCACUCCUUUGACUGAGAUUGACUUGAGUUUGCUCCAUCCAUAUAUUUAUAUUAUAUUCAUAAUAUUAUAUAAAUAUAUGUAUAAAUAAAGAUAUAUAUAUAAAUGUAUAUAAAUAAUAUUUAUAUAAACAUAUAGUAAUAUAUAUAUAUACAUAUAUUUAAAUAUAUUCUCAUAUAUUUAAAUAUAUAUAAUAUACAUAAAAUUAUAUGUAAAUAUAAAUAUAAAUAUAUAUAGGGAUAUAUAUAUAAUUAUCUAUAGAUAUAAAUAUACACAUAUUUAUGCACAUAAUAUAAUAUAUAUAUAUACACUUAAAUAUAUAAAUGUUUAUGUAAAAUAUAAAUACAUAUACUAUAUACAUAUAUAUUUAUUUAAAUAUAUAUACAUAUAAAUAUACAUAUACAUAUGUUUAAAAACAUAUAUACAUAUAUAUUAUAUAUAUUAUAUUUAAUUAAAUAUACAUAUAUAUAUAUAUAAUUAUAUUUGUACAUAUACAAAUAUAUAAGUGCACACAUAUAUAAAAUGUCACUUCCUGAUAUGGCUUUCUGUGGAAGCUUUGACAUAUGGCAUUUGAGCAGUAAGCUUUGGCAUAGCUGGCAUUUGGCUUGGCUUGGCUUUGGAACAAAUGACUUGAUAUGACUGGAUCAAUUCUUCGAUCGAUAAAUACUUUGCAAAGCUCCGUACGUGCUGACGCUUAGUGCACUGGUCUGGUUCACAAGCGACUAACACUGAAGUUAAACAUUGUACCUUCUUUGUCAGCAAACAUUGAUCAGUCGGUUCCGGGUUAGUUUAUGCUUCAGUUUGUUGAUUAUAAAUAACCAACCAAGAUAUAUAGAAAUAUCUUGCUUCAGGGGUUGCACUGAAAUCUUUCGAGUACUUGGACAACAUCUUCAUUGCUUCCACAAUCUUGAAUACUUCAAUCUUUAUUCUUCACUGAGGCAUGAACAUAUUAAUGAACUUCUUCCAGUGAACUUAUUCCUUCAAGACUGUAGAUGGCUUCUUCAACCUUUGUCUUCGUAUCUUCCGAUUUCGGUGCAGGCGUAGUGUUAUUUACUUGUCCUGUUCUAUUGUUGAGUUAUCAUCCCUAUGUAACAGAUAGGGUUGUCUUUACAUUUAGACUUACAAGGUUUUUGAUCGAAUUCAGGGACCUAAAUUUAUAAUUUUUUGAAUUGGACCUAGUUUGUGAAAAUUGGUAUCAUAUGAGUGUCGCUUGCGACACAAACUUAAAUUUGACUACUUAGAACUCUAAAUUUGGAUAUCACUAACACCUUCAAAAUUGCUUUGAUCUGUAUGAAACUCAAGAACCCUAUUUAACACCGUUAGAAUCUUUUGACGAAAAGACUUUGAUCAGAAAACAGAAAAGUUAAAGUGAUCAAAAAUACGGAAUCUUUAGUUUAGGGACAUAAAACGUCAAUAUUUCAGGAAUCUAUAACUUAUUUUUUCCUAUAAUUGACAAGAUGUUUAUGUAAAUAUAUUUUUAUUAGGUGUUUAAAUAACUAUUUUAUUUAAGUAAGUUAAACCCUGAUGUGUUAAAUUAUAAUAACUAACCGCAAGCGCACGGUGUCUGUUGUAGUGCAGACUGGCAAAUGCGAGUCGUAUCCUCAAGGAGACAGAUGCUAUCAAUUUUAUUCAGUCACAGUCAAUUGUUUCCAGAUCAAACGAUUAUGAGAAAUAUUUUUUAACUAACUAAUACGACUAAAUAACACUAGCUAAAAAGACAAGAAAAUAAUAUAUUAAAAAUCCAGGGCAAUCAGGUCCACCAUGCUUACACAAUGACUGGCUCUAAGCUAAAGCAAUUAAAGCGGUCAUGCAACUAGAGUUUGUUAAUCUCUCUCAAGUAUCAACACUCUCGAAACAUGAUUACACAUAUAAUCACUUUGAGUAAUUGAAGCAAUGUUAAUCUCUCUCGAGUAUUAACGCUCUCAGAAAUCCAAUGAUGCUCUCGCAUUCAAAUUCAAUUAUGCUAAUCGUAUGUGUGCCUCUAGUGGUAUAUCUCUCGAUUAUACUCCUAUUCGCAUAGAAUCAAUUUAUGAUAUCGGCCGAUUACACAAAUCAAUAUUAAAACAUAUUCAACUAGAAUUAACCAAUCAAUCAAAUCAUUGUUAAAUCAUGCCAAGAUCAUAGUGCAAACAUGGCUUCCCCUUAAGCCCUAGAACACACUACUCGACAAUAAUAAAAUAACUAAAACAAGUAGAAUAAUAAAGACAUAUAAUUAUAAGCCUCUCUACCUAAUCCUAAUUCUAAUCUAAUAUUGUACAAUGAUAAAAACUAUUCCUAUAUUUCAAAUAAUAAAAGUCUUUUUAAUAUUUAAAACUAAUAUACAAAUAGAAAUCCAAAACAAGAUAGGAUUUUCUCUCAAAAUUCGUAACUGACUUUGCUGCUCUGUUUUCGGGCCUUUUCAGUUGGACUUUGCUUCUUGGACCACUUCUGAAUUAAAGAAAAUUGCAAGGGCUUCGCGUGGGCUAUAAGAACGUCCAAAUCUGACAUCCGGAACUCAAGAUAUGGCCCAAACAUGGUAGAAAUCGGGUUGAACCCAAUAAAUCCGAAUUUUAGUAGAAAUUAGCUCCAAAAUAGCUAAUUUAUCUUCAAAUCCUUCUCAACUUAAAAUUCUUUAUUUCCUACAAUAAAACAAUAAAAAUCUAUUAAAUAAUAUCCAAAUCAAUGCAAAAUACAAUUAAAUAUAAGAAUAAAAUCAUAUAGAAUAUAUAUAAAAAUAUAUUCUAUCAAACAUCCCCACACUAAGCUUUUGCACGUCCUCGGGCAAAUAAGCGAAAUAAAAACUAAUUCCUAACUAACACCACUUUCGUAGAUGACACGAUUGCAUUGAGCGCAUGCAACAAGCCGUUACACCCCUAGGCAGCCCUAAUAGGUAGAGUUUUGUCUCGUGAGGGUUUAUAGUGAAUCUACCCACAAAAUUCAUUAUUUUCUACCAAGCGUCAAAUAUGCAACUACUAUGAAUGCAAACUAAAUGGAUAUGCCUAAAAACAAAUCAUGAAAGCAUCAACCUCGUCAAUAUAUAAUCCUCAGAAUAUGCAACAAUCAAGGCAUUCAUCUAUCUCACAUUUUAGUCGUGCAACUCUUCCACUGCAAGUGCGGAGUGCAUCGUGUGUGCUCAAUAUGCUCUCUAGUGAAACAAAACAGAGACCAACAAACUUCAACAGAGUCUUAACCAUGAGUCGUUAAUCAGAAUAAUGCUUAAACAUUUCGUUACAUUAGAGUCAACUACAGCUCAGGGUCGCAAAGAAUUUCUAUGCCUCUCUUAUUUUUAUUUUUUAUCUUUUCUUUUUCAUGCUCGGUCUAAGGUCGGGACGCUUCUCAGGGUAAGUGAGUUACGACAACCACAAGACUUUGCUAGCUCAUUUUUUCUAUUUUUUUUAAGUCAAGUAAUUCUCCAGUAACCAAGGGCUGUGAAAAGUCACCAACAAAAAUUAUUUCUAGUACAAUUGCACUUAAUACCACAGAUGCAAGGUUCAAAUCCCAGCUACCUCAUCUCUUUUUGACAUAAGUAAAUAGCCUGCUGCGAAUUUACCAUUAGACUGGAUCAUAGCAAGUCGAAUGGGCGGCAAGCAGCGGACCAAAAUCAGUUGGACUGGGCCUAGUGUGUAUGUGCUGAUGGGUCAGGUGGGCUGAGCUGCUUGAAGGAUGGGCUCGAGUUGAGAAUGGGCUACACCUGGACUCGAAUGAACUGGACUGUGGGCUGAGCUUGAUUAAUCCAGAAGGUCGGGACGCCAGUAUGCUAAAAAUUGAUUGUCGGUGUAGGCAGUCAUGCGCGCACCAAGAGAUCAGUAGAUUCUGCACCGCAGUUAGAUAUGAGAGAACCACAGCUCUUUCUUUCCUGGCGAACAGUAUUAAAAUACCAGUUUGCUUCUUUUUUUUUUCUCUUUUUUUUUAUUCUUUUCUUUUUCCCGCGUCUUCUCACGCAAAUAGAAAUAUCCGUAUCAACCUUAGGCCGCUUGGUCAGUUUUUGCCGGCUCAAUAUUUUGUUUUUUAUCUCUGAAACACUUCACACAAAUUCAUCAAGGCAUCUUAUGGGAGUAAAAAAAAUAGCAAAAAUAAAAUCUAACUAAUAUAAUAAUUUUGGGUUGCCUCCCAAUAAGCGCUCUUUUAGAGUCAUUAGCUUGACUUCAAACCUCAAAAAUUAUCUGAUGCAAGUGUAAAAGUGGGAGUAUCCACUUUCUCGAAUAUAAUCUCACCACCAUGAAUAAAGUCAUGAGCAUUAAAGAUUGUUUUUAUCCUGCAGAAAGUCUCCAAACAAGCAUUAGUAAACUUAAUUGUCACAUCAAAAAGUAACAGUUGAUCAAAAUAUUUCGUAGAUUUGGAGAACUUUAUGAUAAAACAACGAUAGAAUUCACAUCCAUGAAGAGAUUGAACUUCCUUGAUAUUCACACGAGGUGGAGGCUCGGGUGGUGGUUUUUCAGAACUCCUCACUUUCGCAGGAGUCAGUUGAACUUCUUGACAUUUCACGUCAAUGUAUAGAGAGUCAAUAUUGCAGUCUCCUUCUUCCGAGAAUUGAAGAGUAAGAGCUUUUCGGAUUGGAUCACCAAGAAACUUUUGAGAAAAAUAAUCAUGGACAAUUCUUGACAUCACGUUGACCUUGAAACCUGUAUUCUCAAGUAUAGGACUAGAGGUAAGAGUGAAAGAAAGGUUUUCAAAACCAAAACACUGAUCCACUUUACUUAUGUCAUCCAUCCGAGUAGGCAAUAAAAGUUUAGACGUAUAUGAUGGAAGAGACACAAGAACCAGCUUAGUAUUGCUUUCUUCGUUUACCUCAUCAUCACAUACAUGGUCUCUAACAACAACAUCAUUGAUUUUAUCAUCAGCAACAUGAUCUUCCUUUUUAUCAAUAGGCACAUCAUCAACACAAAUUGAAAAACUAUCACACUCUUCAUCACUUGCAAGAAUGAUAGUAUUUAUGUCAUCUUCAACCUGGAGAGACGAAGGUGGAGAAGAAUCGGGUUGCCAUGUAGUAAAAGAACCAGCCAAUUGUGCAAUUUGGGCCUCCAUCAUCAAUUGUUCAGCUUUUAGUUCUUUAAUCAUCAUGGCACUCUCUUCCAAGCUUUUCUGAAAGUUCACAAUACCAUCCUCAAAACUCUUGUUCAUAUAUAUCAACAUAUCACAUACCCCCUUUGUCUGAUUUGUUGGCACAUCUACAUUGGUUAAAGGAACCUGUAGCUCUUGUUGUAGUUGAGUAUAUGGAUAUUGUUGAAAUCGUGAUCGCUCGUAUUGAGGUUGAUAGUAUUGUUGCUCAUAUGGCUCAUAUUGUUGUAGUGGCGGUUCUUCAUAGUGUUGUUGCUGAAAUUGGUGUUGAUCAUGAUAUGAGAUAUUAUGAAAACCAUUGUCCAUGUACGAGAAAUCUGGUUGACUCGUCCAUUCUUGAUCAUAAGAGUUAGAAUACUGAUUGUACUCAUAUCCUUCUUGAUAAUCAUUCAUUGGUCCCAAUUGAGCAUUCUGAGAAUUGAAGACAUUGUACUAGCAUUCAUAAGCACGGUGACCCUGAACACCACAAACUUGAUAGAAGUUGUAAGUCUUAGGAGCAACUUGUGACAUCUCAUUGAUACUCAUUGGACUUGAAGUAGGCUUUGUAACAUUCGAUGAGGCAUAGUCACGAGUAUAUGCCUCAACCAUGGAAGAUAGAAGUGCAAAAUUAUCAGCUUCCUCCAUUGUAAACCUGAAACAAAAACACGAGCCAAGAAAACACAGUAAAAUCUACCUCACUUGGAACUAAAGUCCCAAAGAGGCGAAGGAAACAAUCUAAAUAACCAAACAAAAUCAAUAGAAGCUAGCCGUCUCCCCGGCAGCGGCGCCAAAAACUUGAUGUGUUAAAUUAUAAUAACUAACCGCAAGCGCACGGUGUCUGUUGUAGUGCAGACUGGCAAAUGCGAGUCGUAUCCUCAAGGAGACAGAUGCUAUCAAGAAAUAUUUUCCUUCUUUUUCACGCUACUUUUACUCUCAUAUCUCCUUUUUAUACCUUAAAAUCAAUGGUCCCAUCACUUCACCAUUUUUUUUUCUCUUUUUCACUAUUUUAUGCAUAUUUCUUAGCCUUCAUAUCCAAACCAGACGUAAAGAAUUGGCUGGGACCAACAUUUGCGAGUGAAAAUGCAACUUCUUAUGGAAUUUUUGAAACAAAUGCACUUUAAUAUACCUGCACAAAGUCAAGAUUGCUAUGUUAACAAUUCUUAUAUUUUACUUUUUACAAAUAAUUUUGAUUUAAUAUUCAAUUUUAUUUUAGAGAUUUUGGUAUUAAAAAUAAAUAUAUCUUUUAAUCAAAAUAUUUUAAAUGGGGACUAGUAAUGUGAUUUUUAAAAUAAAACUUUUAAAAAUAAAAUAUUUUGCUUUGACAUUUGAAUUACCCUUUUUUAUCAAGGAUUUUUUUUGUCAUAAGACUUUCACGUCAGUGAAUUGUACAGAAAUACAAUACCGAAAGAAUUGGAAGAGCUUUUUUCAUACAUAAAAACUUUCAUCUAACCAAAUGGCAUGUCAAAAAGCCCCACAAGAAAUUAGAUAAAAAUUUAUGAUGCCUGAAAAAAAACACUCGAAAGAAAACAAAAUCCGCGGAACUAAGAAGAAAGGAGAACUUUCAUUCAAAAAAGUCUAUCGACUAACCGAAGAUCAUGCAGAGAUGGCCCCGGAAAUUUAGCCAAUAAAACUUUAAUGACUGAGAAGAUCAGAAGAAAACCCAGAUGAAGAACAAAAAUCCGCGGAAAUGAAGAAAAUAAGGUGGAGACGAAAAAAGGAGGAAGAAAUAAAAAAACAAGCAUGAAAGAUUAUGCUAGGCACCAAAACAAAGUCAUCUAAAAUGACACAAUCGUUAAAAUAACGACAACCAAAAUCGCAAUAUACGAUCAAGAAGCCAUCAACCAUGGCACUCCCUCAAAAGGAACACAAAGAAUCAAACUAAAGAUACAACAUGUCCAAAACACAAUUUACGAUACAAAGUCUUUUAAAUCUAGUAAUAAACGAGACACAAAAUUCAAUUAAGAAAAUAUAACCAAUAACAAAGGAAAUAAGAUAAAUACAUUUAAAACUGUAAGAAUAAAGAUUUUGAACUCAUGCCAUUAUCGUGGGGUCAAUUCACACGAUCCUUACCUUACCGAAUAUAAAUAUAUGUAGAUACCGGAAAUGGCUAAAACUGAAUCGCAGUCGCUAACUCGUCAUUGACUCAUCCCAAUUGAUUCAUCCCAAAUCAAAAUUUUGAAAAUCGAGUAGAUCUAAUAUCCAAGUUAGAUCUGUUGGGGGUAUUAUUGAGAAAAUAAGAAUAAAUCAAGAGAAAUUAACUGAUUUGGAGUUUUUCAUCGGAGAAAAUCGAUGAAACCUCCGACGCUGGCUAGUAAAGAAAGAGAGGGUUUGAGGAGCUGUGAGUUUUAUUCAUGAGAGUGCUUGAAACAAAGGUUCUUUGUAAAUCACACAUGAAAUAUUAUCAUUGUUGAAGCUUGAUUACUAUUGCUAUGCUUGAUUUACUAUGAAUUGAAGCUUAAUUGACAGCGAUUGAAGGUCGAUUCUCAUUUACAUCUUAACAGUAUCCGAAUUUUAGAUACAUCUUUGAAUUCCUGUGCUUGUUUAAUUUUGCUUUUCUAAAUGUGUGAAUCGGAAAAAAAAAUGUCAGGAAAACUUUUUAUCAAGGAAAUUGAUUUCAUUAGUUUUCAAUAAGAAACAUAUAUGGGUUGAGAGUAGUUCAGUAGAGCUAUGCGUCUAUGGUGUCCUAGAUCUUGGAUUCAUUCUCACCUAGAAUACUCAUUAGUAUCCUUAUGUUUAUAAAAAAGACAAAAUAAAAACAAAUAAUACUCCAUUUGUUAUAAUAUAGUGAUUGCCAUGCAUGUGGUCAAUGAAUCAAAUAGUAGGGCUAUGAUUUAUAGGAGUAGAAUUUGUGUAUGCAUUUAAUGUUCUUGGCUUCUUGCAAAUUCACAUUGGCUAUAAAUAGCCACACUCGGUAAUGAAGAAAGAUGCACCCGAGCUUUCUUUCUAUGCUCAGCUUCUUACCUCCUUCUGUUAAAUUUAGUAGCUCUCCAGUUGUUCUUUUAUAGCUAGGAUAUUACAACACNGAUCAAGAAGCCAUCAACCAUGGCACUCCCUCAAAAGGAACACAAAGAAUCAAACUAAAGAUACAACAUGUCCAAAACACAAUUUACGAUACAAAGUCUUUUAAAUCUAGUAAUAAACGAGACACAAAAUUCAAUUAAGAAAAUAUAACCAAUAACAAAGGAAAUAAGAUAAAUACAUUUAAAACUGUAAGAAUAAAGAUUUUGAACUCAUGCCAUUAUCGUGGGGUCAAUUCACACGAUCCUUACCUUACCGAAUAUAAAUAUAUGUAGAUACCGGAAAUGGCUAAAACUGAAUCGCAGUCGCUAACUCGUCAUUGACUCAUCCCAAUUGAUUCAUCCCAAAUCAAAAUUUUGAAAAUCGAGUAGAUCUAAUAUCCAAGUUAGAUCUGUUGGGGGUAUUAUUGAGAAAAUAAGAAUAAAUCAAGAGAAAUUAACUGAUUUGGAGUUUUUCAUCGGAGAAAAUCGAUGAAACCUCCGACGCUGGCUAGUAAAGAAAGAGAGGGUUUGAGGAGCUGUGAGUUUUAUUCAUGAGAGUGCUUGAAACAAAGGUUCUUUGUAAAUCACACAUGAAAUAUUAUCAUUGUUGAAGCUUGAUUACUAUUGCUAUGCUUGAUUUACUAUGAAUUGAAGCUUAAUUGACAGCGAUUGAAGGUCGAUUCUCAUUUACAUCUUAACAGUAUCCGAAUUUUAGAUACAUCUUUGAAUUCCUGUGCUUGUUUAAUUUUGCUUUUCUAAAUGUGUGAAUCGGAAAAAAAAAUGUCAGGAAAACUUUUUAUCAAGGAAAUUGAUUUCAUUAGUUUUCAAUAAGAAACAUAUAUGGGUUGAGAGUAGUUCAGUAGAGCUAUGCGUCUAUGGUGUCCUAGAUCUUGGAUUCAUUCUCACCUAGAAUACUCAUUAGUAUCCUUAUGUUUAUAAAAAAGACAAAAUAAAAACAAAUAAUACUCCAUUUGUUAUAAUAUAGUGAUUGCCAUGCAUGUGGUCAAUGAAUCAAAUAGUAGGGCUAUGAUUUAUAGGAGUAGAAUUUGUGUAUGCAUUUAAUGUUCUUGGCUUCUUGCAAAUUCACAUUGGCUAUAAAUAGCCACACUCGGUAAUGAAGAAAGAUGCACCCGAGCUUUCUUUCUAUGCUCAGCUUCUUACCUCCUUCUGUUAAAUUUAGUAGCUCUCCAGUUGUUCUUUUAUAGCUAGGAUAUUACAACACGUUAUCAGCACGAAGCCCUGCCGGAACUGAGAAGGUAUAAUUUUAUUUAAAUGUACAUAUAUAUGAGUAGACGUGGUUAUACCCUCUACAAAAAAAAAAUUAAAUAUAUAUAACCGGAAUAGACGUGGUUACACCCUCUACUAAUAUUUUAACUACAUAUGGCCGGAGCACCGCCUAUUUACGGUACCAUAUAAUUUUGGGUAAUACCGAAAUAUAGUGGGAACCUUGAUUUAUAAAUUGCCUGCCUAUCGGAUAAUAAUUCUUUUGUGCCUAACUAACUUAUGCAGGAUUUUCCAUUUAAAUAUAUUAUUGGUUGGAGAUAACCUGUAUACGCAGGCGUCCGUAUGGCGGGUGAAAAUCCAUUUGUCAUUUUAUAUAUAGAUCUAUUUAUAAUAUCGAUGAUAAUAAUUAUGUACACAUUUAUUAUUGCUUACUUGUUAACGCACCAGAUUCAGUAGGAUUUUAUGUAAUAUUUAUAUUGAAAAUUUAAGUUAAUAAUUUUUGUGUUAAAUUCAGAUUAAAAUGACAAAUCUUACAAACUUGUCGUUCGUUGCGUUUGACAUUUCUGGGGAGAAUUAUCUAUCGUGGGUACAAGAUGUAAAGUUGCAUUUGGGUUCAAAGAAAUUAGGCAACACAAUAAAGGCAGAAAACACAUCCACAAUUGAAGAAAAUUUUACCUCUAUUAUUUUCCUUCGACACCACAUGCAUGAAGAUCUAAAAUCUGAGUACCUAGAAGUCGAGGAUCCCUUUAUUUUAUGGGAAAAUCUAAAUGAUAGGUUCGAUCAUCAGAAACUAGUUUAUCUACCUGCAGCUGAAAAUGAUUGGGCUAAUCUAAGGCUUCAAGGUUGUAGGAGUGUUCGGGCAUAUAGAUCAGCACUAUUCAAAAUAAGUUCUAGGCUCAUUAUGUGUGGUGAGAUUGUUACUGAGAAAAGAAAGAUCGACAAAAUAUUAUCCACUUUUCAUCCCAAUAAUAUCAACUUAGCCGAGAUGUACAGGGAGCGCAAGUUUACCAAGUUUGGGGAUCUCCUUUCAACCCUCCUUGUUGCCGAGCAGAAUCAUGAAUUGGUGAUUAAGAAUCAUCAAUCCCGUCCAACGGGAUCUGCCCCUUUACCAGAAGUAAAUAACACGACAUUCCAGCAGAAUGUACGUGGAAAAAGGCAUAGAGGUGGACGAGGCCAUGGUCGCUACCGUGGACGAGGCCGUGGUCGUGGGCAUUUUCGUCCUUAUUAUAGCUCUGGUCACCAGAAGUGGCAACCUGAAACACAGAGCAAAAGAAAGGCACCACAAGGAGGGAAAACUGACAAUUUAUGUCACAAGUGUGGAAUGGAAGGGCAUUGGUCACGUAAUUGUUAUAUCCCACAACAUCUUGUUGAUUUAUAUCAGUCAUCUAAAAGAUCAAAAGGGAAAAUGGUGGAAACCAAUUUCGCCAACAACUUAGAUGAUUCUCUUAUAAUAUCAACCGGGGGAAUAAGCGUUAAUGGUCCUAAUGAGACUAACGAAACUCACAUGUGGGAGGCUGAGGAUUAGUUUCAUAAAAUUAUUAGCAACCAGAGGAAUGAGCAUUAAUGGUCCGAAUUACUAUAGUUAAUAGUGUGUACUGUGUGCUUUAUUUUAUCUAUGUAAUGUGUUAUGUUCUUAUCAAAUAAAUCAUGUUUCUUAAUUAUAUACAGAAUGGAUUCUGAAGAUAUAUGCAUUGCUGAUUGUGGUACAACUCAUACGAUUCUACAAAAUAAAAAAUACUUUACCCAUAUAACCAAAACUGAAGCUCAAGUUGGAUCGAUUUCUGGCGUAUCUAAUAUAAUCGACGGGUUUGGAAAAGCUAGUUUCGUCUUACCUAAUGGUACACACAUACAUAUUCCAAAUGCAUUAUUUUCCAGUAAGUCCACUAGAAAUCUUCUUAGUUUUAAGGAUAUCAGAUUUAACAAUUUUCACAUCGAAACCACUUCUGAGGCUGGUAAAGAAUAUCUCCUUAUUACUUCUGCUAAUUCUAGCAACAAGAAAAUCUUAGAAAAGUUUCACUCACUUUCCUCAGGAUUAUAUAUGAUGAAAAUCAGAACCAUUGAGUCACACAAUGUCAUUGCUUCCAAACUCAUAGAUCCAAAAUCAUUUACCCUUUGGCAUGAAAGAUUAGGUCAUCCUGGAGUCUCUAUGAUGCGUCGUAUUAUAGAGAAUUCUACCGGACAUCCUCUUAGAGAUCUUAAAGUUCUUUCUAAAAAUGACCUUCAAUGUUCGGCAUGUUCUUUAGGAAAAUUGAUUACUCGGCCAUCUCCUACUAAAGUUAAGCUUGAAAGUCCAAGUUUUCUAGAAAGGAUACAGGGCGACAUAUGUGGACCGAUCCACCCAUCAUCUGGUCCAUUUAGGUACUUCAUGGUACUAAUAGAUGCCUCAACUAGAUGGUCUCAUGUUUGUCUUCUCUCAACUCGUAAUGAUGCUUUUGCAAAAUUACUUGCCCAGAUAAUCAAGUUGCGAGCUCAAUUCCCAGACCAUUGUAUUAAGUCAAUUCGUUUAGAUAAUGCCGGCGAGUUCACAUCUGCAACCUUUGUCGACUAUUGCAUGUCUGUAGGAAUUUCUGUUGAACACCCAGUUCCUCAUGUACAUACACAAAAUGGGUUAGCCGAGUCCUUUAUCAAAAGACUUCAACUUAUUGCAAGACCGUUGUUAUUGAAAGCCAAAUUACCUACAUCUAUUUGGGGUCAUGCAAUACUUCAUGCUGCUAAUCUUAUUAGGAUUAGACCAACUGCCUAUAAUCAACAUUCUCCACUACAGCUGGUACUUGGUCAAAUCCCUAAUAUUUCUCACUUCAAAAUCUUCGGAAGUGCUGUAUAUGUACCGAUUGCUCCACCACAGAGAUCGAAGAUGGGAGCUCAAAGAAGAAUAGGUAUCUAUGUUGGUUUUGAUUCAACAUCUAUAAUUAGAUAUCUUGAACCACUAACUGGAGACUUAUUUACUGCACGAUACGCAGAUUGUCAUUUUGACGAAUCUUUGUUUCCUCCCUUAGGGGGAGAUAAACAUGUGAAUAAGAUUAAUCCUGACAUAACAUGGAAUGCAUCGGGGUUACAUUUUCUAGAUCCACGUACCGGUCAAUGCGAACUUGAAGUUAAAAGAAUCAUCCAUAUGCAAAAUAUCGCAAACCAAAUGCCUGACGCAUUUAACGAUUCUAGAAAUGUAAUAAAAUCUCAUAUACCUGCAGUAAAUACUCCAGCUAGAGUAGAUAUACCAAUUCAAAAAUCAAGUACAAAUGAAUUGGUUACAGAUUCAAAGCCACGCCUGAAGCGUGGUAGACCGGUCGGUGCGAAAGAUGUUGCACCAAGAAAAAGAAAGACAAAGAAAAUUGCCCCUGAAGUGGCACAUGCUCCAGAAGAAGCAAAUACCCCCCGAAGUGGUAUUAUCUCCUGAAGAGAUUCCCGUCCCUGAAGAUUCGGGAUUAAACAAUCAUGAAAUUUCAAUAAAUUAUGUGCAUGAUAUGAAAUUAUGGGAUCGAAGUAAAGCCAUAAUCGAUGAUGUAUUUGUGUAUUCAGCGGCAUUGGAUGUCGACAUAAAUUCUGAUCCUGAACCACAAAGUGUGGAUGAAUGCCGUCGAAGAAAAGACUGGCUAAAAUGGAAAGACGCAAUUCAAACAGAAUUAAAUUCAUUGCGCAAAAGAGAAGUAUUUGGACCUGUUGUCCAAACACCAAUCGGUGUGAACCCUGUUGGGAAUAAAUGGGUAUUCAUAAGAAAACGAAAUGAAAAGAAUGAAAUUGUGAGAUAUAAAGCCCGACUUGUAGCACAAGGGUUUUCUCAAAGGCCUGGCAUUGAUUAUCAUGAGACAUACUCGCCAGUAAUGGAUGGAAUUACUUUUCGUUUUAUAUUAGGUAUGGCAUCGAAAGAAAAAUUGGAAACACGUCUUAUGGACGUUGUUACUGCAUACCUAUAUGGAUCACUUGAUAGUGAUAUUUUUAUGAAAAUCCCAGAAGGAUUAAAAAUGGAUGAGUUCAAGAAACCUCGUCAUAUAUACUCCAUUAAACUUCAACGAUCAUUGUAUGGAUUGAAACAAUCUGGUCGUAUGUGGUAUAACAGACUUAGUCGUUAUUUACAAAAGAAUGGGUAUAUUAGUAAUCAAAUUUGUCCAUGUGUUUUUAUCAAAAAAUCACAAUCUGGUUUUGUGAUUAUUGCUGUAUAUGUGGAUGAUUUAAACCUUGUAGGAACAGCUACAGAGGUUGAUGAAGCUGUCAUAUAUCUAAAGACAGAGUUUGAAAUGAAAGAUCUUGGGAAGACAAAAUAUUGUCUUGGUAUACAAGUCGAGCACUUGUCAUCAGGAAUUUUCCUCCACCAAUCUACAUAUACAGAAAAGGUUUUGAGCAGAUUUUACAUGGAUAAAUCUCAUCCGUUAACUACUCCAAUGGUGGUUAGAUCUUUAGAACCAGAUAAAGAUCCAUUUCGACCACGAGAAGAUGAUGAAGAAGUUCUUGGUCCUGAAAUCCCAUAUCUUGGAGCAAUUGGUGCACUUAUGUAUCUUGCGAAUAAUGCAAGGCCAGAUAUUGCCUUUGUUGUCAAUUUAUUGGCUAGAUUUAGCUCUGCUCCGAUGGCCAGACAUUGGAAUGGGAUCAAGCAUAUAUUUCGUUAUCUUCGUGGAACCGUUGAUUUUGGGUUAUUCUUUCCAGAGAACUCGACAUCUCAGUUGAUUGGAUAUGCAGACGCUGGAUAUCUGUCAGAUCCUCAUUUUGGCAAAUCACAAACUGGAUAUGUAUUCACAUAUUGCGGUACAGCCAUUUCCUGGAAAUCCACGAAGCAAACUACAGUGGCAACCUCAACAAAUCACUCAGAACUAAUUGCAAUUCACGAAGCCAGUAGAGAAUGUGUUUGGUUGAGAUCUAUUAUCAAGAAUAUUCAAGAAUCGUGUGGAUUACCGGACAUCACGAGAAGUCCUACUGUUAUGUUUGAGGAUAACACUGCAUGCAUUGAUCAACUCAAAGAGGGAAACAUCAAAGGAGACAGGACGAAGCACAUUUCACCAAAAUUCUUCUAUACUCAUGAGCUUCAAAAGAAUAGAGAAAUUGAUGUACAACAAAUUCAAUCAUGUGACAACCUUGCAGAUUUAUUCACAAAAUCAUUACCAAAUUCAACAUUUGCAAAGCUGCGACAUAACAUUGGAAUGCGUCGACUCAAGAAUAUGCUGCAACAAAACUCCAGUGAUUGAUGUUUUCUUCCAAGGGGAGAUUGUACUCUUUUUCCUUCGUUAAAGUUUUUAUCCCACUGGGUUUUUCUUUGACAAGGUUUUAACGAGGCAAUUGAUGAUCCACACUAUCAUGACAAUCAAAGGGGAGUGUUAUAAUAUAGUGAUUGCCAUGCAUGUGGUCAAUGAAUCAAAUAGUAGGGCUAUGAUUUAUAGGAGUAGAAUUUGUGUAUGCAUUUAAUGUUCUUGGCUUCUUGCAAAUUCACAUUGGCUAUAAAUAGCCACACUCGGUAAUGAAGAAAGAUGCACCCGAGCUUUCUUUCUAUGCUCAGCUUCUUACCUCCUUCUGUUAAAUUUAGUAGCUCUCCAGUUGUUCUUUUAUAGCUAGGAUAUUACAACACCAUUAGAAAUGUGCUAGAAAACGUGAAGGGAAUUUUGGAGUACUGAAUAGUCUAUUAAACAAAGACUUGUUCGUGCUCACAAGGCGUUUCAUCUCCCUCGAGCCUAAACCCUAAUUAAGCAAGGCUGAAGACCCGAAGUCCCUGAAGCCGAGACGCCGGUGGAAUAGAUAAAUUUACAACCGUUAACAUUUAGGGUUUAGGUUUGGGUUGCAGAAUGAUUAAUUCGUACUGUAUAUUAAAUUUGCAGACGGUUAGGGUUUAGGCUCGAAGGAGUAGGGCUGAUUAAUUCGUACUGUAUAUUAAAUUGGCCGACGGUUAGGGUUUAGGAUUGAGGGUGUAGGGCCGGUAGGCCCUACUCCCUGAGCCUAAACCCUAAUUAAUGCGAGGGUGCAGGGCCGAAGGCCCUAAAGCCGAGAAACCGGCGGAAUAAAUUAAUUUACAAUCGUUAACAUUUAGGGUUUAGGUUUGGGUUGCAGAAUAAUUAAUUCGUACUGUAUAUUAAAUUGGCUGACGUUUAGGGUUUAAGAUCGAGAGUUUGGGACCUAAGAUAAAUUAAUACAAUAAAUUAACUUUAUGGAAACGCUAACAUGUGUUGCGUUUUUGUUUAAUUAGAUAAAAUGAAAAUAAAAAGGUUAUAAAGGCAAUUGCUUUUGACGUUUGAUUCAAUUCAAUUUGUGGAUCCACGCGGCCCAGCCCACGGCUCACCAGAACGAAGCAGUGGUAACCCCAAAUCCAGACUUAAACGCUACUCCCUUUAGCGUUUUAUAUUCUUACAGAACCUUAAACGCUACUUUCAUUAGCGUUUAGCUUGUUUUAAAAAAAAUUAAAAACCUAAGACGCUCCACGAUGUAGCGUUUUGGUUAAAAAAAUCAAAACGCUACACCAUAUGCGUCUCUAAAUGUCAGUGAAGGCCAUUUAUCGGGUAUUUUGAUAUCCAAAAUUUGGUUAUUUGCACUACUAGAAAUUUCAUUAUUCCCAACGAAAUAUUAUGUUGGCAAAUCAAGAAAAUCCGUUGGUAAAAGAGAUUCCUAACCGAAUGCCCACUGAACUGGACCGUUAGAGUAUACGUUGUUGGGAAGCAACUCGCCAACCGAAUUAGGUGUCCGUUGCUAAGUUAGCAACCGAGUAGUAACAAUCUAGUAACAGACCUUUGUUUUGCAAAAUAACAAAAGAAACACCAUCCCACCAACAGAAUAUUUUGGUUGGCAAUUCUAGCAACAAAUGCCCAACGGGAAAUCCGAUGUUAAAUAUAGUCAAAAUUGUUAAAUUUAACAACAAAGAACUAACAGAUUCUUUCAGAUGUUAAAUUUCCGUUAGUAGAUAUAAACACAUUCUGUUGGUAUGCAUGCUUAAAUACAGUGCAAAUUUUUCAUUUUCUAGAAUUGUUCAUUUUUAUGUCUAUAGAAAUGCAAAUAAAAACAACAAAAGUGUACACUUUUCACAUAAUAAACAUUUCUUUACGAUCUUCAAAAUGAGGUAAGAGUUACCCGAUACAAUAGUGUUCAAGUACUAUAUCUAAAAGGAGCCAUCAAUUACUAACGAGGCUUGAAUACUAGCUAGUACUAACACGUAGCUAUUUGAUUCUCCAUGGCUUUCAUCUUAUCCCCAUCACAUUUAGUUCUUCAUGCAACUUCUGAUUUUUUGCAUCAGCAAAGGAUGGACAUCAAGGAAUCUCCGGCUUAUAAAAGAGAGAUUGCAAUGAACCAACUCCAUGGACCUUGUUAUCUCUUUUUUCUCACACAUGUAUUGGUACUUGUCAUCCACCUGCUCUCACGAAUAAAUUGAUAUCUUAGAUAAUCUUAUAUGUAGCUACCAAAAACUCAAGUACUUGCUAAAAAGCUGUUUAACAACUUUAUGAUAUAGAAUGCAGUGAAACCUCGAAUGCAGACACAAUCUCAGAGGCCUUAAGCCUAUUACUUGACUUCUAAUUAAUUGAAGAUUUGUGGGCAUUUUACAGAAGACCUCCUGAAUACUAUAUGAUUUACAUAAAAAUGUCAAGAAUCCACCGACUAAAGUUCUAGUCAAAUUCUUUAAAUUCGUAACUAAAAUUCAAAGGUAAAAGUUAAAGUUUUGUUAGAGAUUUCUACAUACAAUUGACAAGCAUAUUUUAUAACAAAAGUUUCAAUUAUUGAAAAUUAUCUAGAAGCAACAACAAAGAAAAACUCUGCUAUCACUAUAUACUUCUUCGAGAAAACACCCAAACUCUUCGAUAAAACUUUUUCCUUGUGGUUGGGAAUGCAAUGCAAGAUCAACAAGAGAUAACAUCUUAAGUGCCUUGGCAUCAAAUUCAUAGAUUAAGUUAGCACUAUGGGGCACAAACUUGUUCUGCAUACUUGUAAAUGCAUUAAGCAACGGUACUUGACCUUAAACAAACAAAAGAGAACAUCAAAGUGGAAAAAUGAGGUCUCUCCUCAUUGAAGUUCCAUAAUCAGGCAUGCAUAUUAAUAAAUUCAUUGUUAAACAUUAUAAUUUAGGGGAAGACAAUCAUAUUUGCUAUUACCGAAUCUAUUUUACGACAUCAAUGCAUAUAUCAAGUGUCAACAUAAAUUUAAUCUACAAGAACCAAUAACACAACUUGUUCCUCAAUUCAAUUUUACAAUAAGCUGCCCAUUCAGAACAAUAAUUACUUGUUAGAUUAUAUACAAGUAUACCAAGAACCCCCCAUAAUAUAAUCAGCAAAUGUCAAUUAAAAACAUAAAGGAACAAAACUAUACCUGAAGACUUGCACGAGAUGACCUCGAAAUCGGCCUUUUCUUGUUACCAUCUCCUUGCUAGCCGCUACUGCCGCAUCAGCUGUUUUUCCAGCUACUAAUCAAAGUGUUAGAUUCUGAAAAAAUGAAAAAAAAAACAGGGGAUUACAUACACACACAUCCAAAUCAAAAACCCACACAAAUAACAAAUCAACAAAUAGAAAAAAUAGGAAAUCAACAAAUCGAAACAUGAACAUGAAACCCGUAUAAAAACAUACAUAAACCUAAUUGUAAAAACAUCAAAAUCGAACCCACAUAACUUAUAAAACAUGAAAAUCGACCAAUCGAACCCCAAAAAUCAACAUCAUACUAGAGAAAAGCGGAGUAAAACCCUAAGGGUAACUAAUUUGAUAACUAAAUCGACGGAUCUACACAAAAAAAUUCAUUCUCGAACAGCAGCGUCAUAAGUAUGAUCAUUUUGAAACUUUAGAGGUGGCCGCCGUUACAAAACACACCUAAAGAUACACAAAGAGAGAUAGAGUUUUGGGAGAGGUCGGGCUAAUUUUGGGGGGAGAGUUUUGUAAAUUUCGGGGUUGGGGUUGGGGGAAAUGGCUGGGGGAGAUUCACAAAACGAGGGAAAACUUUUGGCUGUGCCGGAUUUUCAAUAUUUCAUCGAAGGCUAAAUUAAUAUUUUAUCGUAUUUGACUAAAAAUUCACACACUAAAAGAAACUAAAUUGUUUUAAAAUUAUUUUAAUCAAUAUUAACACGUUGAAAUAACAUCCAUACAGUUUGGAUCGUCUAAAAUACUUUUUUUAAGAUUAGUUUCAUAUUUCGUAUAAAUAUUCUAUUAAAGACUAAGUAAUUUGACCUCAUAUGACUAUAAAAUUCAUACACCAAAUUAAAGGCUAAUUUUUUUUCAAAAAAUUUAAUCAAUAUUAUCACGUUACAAUAACAUCUGUAUGGUUAGAUCGUAAAAAAUAAUUUUCAAAAAAAUAGUUUCGUGUUUCAGGUAAGUAUUCGAUUAAAGGCUAAGUAAUUUGAACGCAUUUGACUACAAAAUCCACACACCAAAUAAAAGGCUAUUUUUUUUAUAAAAAAAAUAAUCAAUAUUAUCACGUUACAAUAACAUUUGUACGGUUGGAUCAUCCAGAAUGAUUUUUAAAAAAAUAAUUUCAUGUUUCGUGUAAGUAUUUCAUUAAAGGCUAAGUAAUUUGACUGCAUUUGAAUACAAAAUCCACACACCAAAUGAAAGGCUAAAUUUUUUCAAAAAAAAAUUUAAUCACUAUUAUCACGUUACAAUAAUAUCCGUACGGUUGGAUCGUCCGAAAUGAUUAAAAAAAACAGUUUCAUGUUUCGGAUAAGUAUUCGAUUAAAGGCUAAGUAAUUUGACCUCAUUUGAUCGCAAAAUCCACACACCAAAUAACAGACAUAUUUUCUUAAAAAUUAUUUUAACCAAUAUUAACACGUUAUAAUAUCAUCUGUACGGUUGGAUCGUCCAAAUCAUUUUUAAAAAAAAUAGUUUUUAUGUUUCGGGUAAGUAUUCCAAUAAAGACUAAGUAAUUUAAUUGCAUUUGACUACAAAAUCCACGUACCAAAUAAAAGGCUAUUUUUUAAAAAUUUUUAAUCAAUAUUAUCAUAUUACAAUAAUAUCUAUAUAGUUGGAUCAUCAAAAAUAAAAAAUAUUUUUAUGUUUCGGGUAGGUAUUCGAUCAAAGGCUAACUAAAUUUACCGCAUUUGACUACAAAAUCCACAUACCAAAUAAAAGAUUAACUUUUUUUAAAAUUUUUUAAAUAUAAAAUUUCUAGUUAAGAAUGUAAUAUAAAAUUUCUUGUUAAAAAUGAGCCAAUUAACAAUUAUGUUACAUGUAUAAAUUCAAGAAAAUUACUUAAUAUUUACAAUACAUAUCGAAGCCCAUAAUAUUUUUGGCCUUUUCCAACAACCCAAAUCAAUUUAAUCAGCUAGAGCCCAUUGGGCUUUAGCAUGACACACGUGUCAACUAAGAGACUGGAAUUGUAUUCGUGUAUGUGCUCAUGUAGUGUAUAUCAAUUGUUCAUGUAAAAGUAAAACCAAUAAUCAAUUACUAACGGAACUGUUGGUAUUUAUCAACGGAAUAUCAACGCACGUAAUAACAGAAGCUUUGGUUACCAGUCUGUUGCUCAUUCCUUGGCAUUUUGUUACUAUUCCAUUGUGUGGCUAUAAUUCCUAACGGAACCUCUCGUUGGUAAAUAAGCGUGGGUAUUUCGUCGCGACUUGGUUGGCAGAACAUUGACUAGUCAAAUCGUUACAAAUCCGUUGGGAACUACCAACGGACUAAUUUUCCUUAGGAAAUUCCAUUGGUAGAAACGCUUUCUCUUGUAGUGUUGGGACCGAAACCCAAGAAUAACACAUUUUUUGGGAAUUUUUUUUUUUACAAAGUGGACACUUAAAAUGAGAUGGAGACGGUUUAAAAGCUGUAAUAUGAGACUAAUGAAGUGGAAAGAAAGGGCAGAGAGUAAAUAAAUCGACCUGUUAAGGGCAACGAGGCGUUUCGUCUCCGGCAACUUCACGUGUUCCUCUUUAAAUGGUCUCUUUAUGCGGUCACUCAAAUACAAUCAUCAUCGUCAUCAUCAGUAUGAGUACUUACAUAUUCGUUUCCAGUAUUUGUUGUAUUGAAGGAAGUGAAAUUCUCUGCCUUGGGACACCCAACCAGAUCAAAAACCCUCAAAGCCCGCAUAUUGAAAACUAUGCUUUCAUCACGACCAAAACUUUUGAGGUUUGGCAGAUCUUCAAGUUUAAUACAGCCCAGUCGAGGGAGUGUGAUAGUCUUGUCAUUUGUGUCGUCACCCCUUGCAUGUUCCACAAUGACUUCUAACGAUAUACAAUUUGAUACUCUCAAAGAUUCGAGUUGUUGGAGAUUCCUGAAAACAGAGCACGUGAAGAGAGUAGAGAAUCCACAGUUAUCAGCUUCCAUUCUCUCUAAAGCCGGCAUAUAGCAGUCGUAAUUUGCACCGUGGAUGAAACUCUUGAGGGCUGGCAAAUUCUCGAGUGUAAGUGACGAGAGUUUUGGGAGGCCAAAAGUUUCAUCUCCGCUGGCAUACUCAAAGAUGCCUUCCAACAUUCUGCAAUUUGAUACUCUCAAAGAAUGGAGUUUUGGGAGAUUCCUGAAAACAGAGCACGUGAAGAGAGUAGAGAAUUCACAGUUAUCAACUUCCAUUAUCCUCAAAGCCGGCAUAUAGCAGUCGUAAUUUGCACCGUGGAUGAAACUCUUGAGAGCUGGCAAAUUUUUGAGUUGAAGUGACCAGAGUUUUGAGAGGGAGAGAAUAAUCUUUUCAGUCGUACCAGAAGUUUCAUCUACGCUGGCAUACUCAAAGAUGCCUUCCAACAUUCUGCAAUUUGAUACUUUCAAAGAUAGGAGUUGUUGGAGAUUCCUGAAAACAGAGCACGUGAAGGCAGUAGAGAAUCCACAGUUAUCAACUUCCAAGUUGAGCAAAGCCGGCAUAUAGCAGCGGUAAUUUGCACCGUGGAUGAAACUUUUGAGGUCUGGCAAAUUUCUGAGUUCAAGUGACCAGAGUCCUGAGAGGGAGACAAUAAUCUGUUCAGUCGUACCAGAAUUUUCAUCUCCCCUUGCAUACUUAAUGAUGUCUUCCAACAAUCUGCAAUCCUGUACUUUCAAGUGUGUUAGACUUUGUAGACUUCCAGAAGCUGAGCACGUGAACAGAGAAGAGAGCCCACAAUUACUGACUGAAACAGUGGAUAAAUCUGGCAGAAGUAUGCACUCAUGAUUGGUACCAUAGAUAAAACUCUUGAGCUUUGGUAGAUCUUUAAGAGUAACUUCAUAAAGAUUAGAGAGUGUAAUAGUCUUCUUGUUCAUGCCAGAAACCUCAACCUCCACAAUUUCUUCCAAAUGAGCACACCUUGAUAUAUUCAAAGAUCUGAGAAUUGUGAACUCUGAGAAUGAAAAAAGAUUAGAGAGUCCACAAUUCUCAACUUCCACUUCCCAUAAAGACGGGACACGGCACCCAUAAUUUGCUCCAUGAAUAAUACUUUUCAGCUCUGGUAAAUUUUUUAGAACAACUCUCUGUAGGUGAGAGAGCGUGAUAGUCUUCUUAUUGAUGCCAGAUAUUUUGUCAUACUCUGCAAUUUCUUCCAAGAAAGCACAAUCUGAAAUUUCUAGUUGUCGGAGUUGUUGUAGACUUCUAAAGCCUGAGAAUGUGAAAAGAGCAGCGCCUCCAGAGUAUCUGCGAACUUUAAGCACCUUCAGCACUGGGAACUGUAAAGAUUUGAGCUCAUGCGACCAACACCCACUCAAAAAGAGUGUUUCCAGAUUAUGUAAUCGAGGUUGCCAUGUAGACGGAAGUUGCAUCUCCUCAUCACAACUUAUAUCCAAGCUCUUUAGUUGGCUGCUGAACUCUAUCAAUUCCAGCUUAAUUUCCUUGCAACUGCGAAUUUCAAGUUUCAUUACAUUUGGAAAUUCAACCUGCAAAAUAAAUAUUUUUCAUUUUGUCAACUUUAUGCUGAGAACGUUUCUUUUAUUUGCUUGAUAAUAAUAAUAUUAUAAAUAGAUAAUUUAUAAUUUAUAAUUUGAAAUUAUAUAUUAAUAAUGAGAGGCUUAAACUUAACUUGUUAUAGAAAGUUAUCAUCCGACCAAUACAAAGAUAUAUAAUAUCAUUUUUUUCUAAAUAGAGAAAUAAUAAAUAUGAAAAAUAUAAUUUGUGAUUAAAUAUUAAAAUUGUAAAAUUAUCAUAAUUAACAUAUAUUAAUAUGAGAAAAACAUCCACGUGAUACUUUCACUACUCAUUUAUCAUAUAUAAAUAUAUUAUAAAUGCUAAAUAUCUAAGAGAAAAUAUAUUUUAAUAGAUGUUCUAAUACAAAAAUAUCUUACUAAUAAAAUGAUGUUUAAUUAUAUUAUAAACAAAAAAUAUUAGAAAAAUAGAUUCAAGCUAUUCUAGGUGCUCUAUAUAGUUGAAACUAAUAAUUAUAUUUAUUUUUAUGAUUUCCAUUUCAGUUAUUUCUUUUUAAAUAAUUAUUAUAUAAUUUUUAGGAAUCAUAUUUCUUAUUUGUUCUAAUUUUUUGUUACUUAUUAAUAGGAAUUCUAUAAAUGUUUUAACUUUUAGUUGAAAAUAAGAAUUUCAUUUCAUUUUAUUAGCUUUUAUGUUGUCAAGGAGAAAAUUUUAUAUUUCUUUUUCGGUUCCUAUUUGUUAGCUUUUAUUAUACUAAUGACAGUUGAUUUAAUAAUAUAAUCAUUAUUUUUUCAUAAAAUUAAAAUUUAAUUAUUAACUUUAAAUUUUGUGAAUAAUAAUAAUUAUAAUAUUAUAAUCAGACAAUCAAUUUUAAAAACAACUUUUUUAUCAAUAAAACUAUAUAAUAUAACUACAUUAUUUAAUUUCUAUAAUGAAAUAGAGGAGCAAAUUUACAUAUUUUUCUAAUAAGCGUAUAAACCUCCUUAUAAAAAUUCUCCUGAAAAGUUAUUAUUUCCAACAUUAAUUUGGCCCAUUCCACCUACAUUUUUCUCUUGGAGAGCAGUAACAUAAAAAUAUUUUGAAUUAUAAGUCGUUUGACUUUUUUUCACGUAUUUUUAAGUCUUUUGACUGUAUACUAAAAGUCAUUAUUUUUGAAAUUUUCUUUUUUUGAAUAAAAAUAUAUGAUUGAUAUUAUAAUCCAAAUAAAGAGAAUUUCAAAAAAAAUGAUUUUAAGUAUACGGUCAAAAGACUUAAAAAUACGUGAAAAAAGUCAAACGACCUAUAUUUCAAAACCGAGGGAGUAUAAAGAGUGGUGUUGGGUGCACAAAAUUGUGUGCAGAAAUUUUGUACAUGAUGUGAUAAUUAAUUGUCUUGAUGUAAAUACAGGGCCCAAUCUAAUUAAAACUUACCACAUGUCAUUUUGUAUAAAAUUUUGGACACAUUUAUAUGCACCAAACACUGCUAACAUAAAAAAUUGAAGAAAUGAAUAUAAAUAUAGUACCUUGUAGGUAUCAAUUUCCUCACCACAAAAGCUGGUCAAGUUUGGCAAAAGCUCUAACCGUAAACACGUCAAUUCUGGAAAGACUAAGACAUCAUUGAUUUCUCCUUGCUUAGCUUCCCCCACGAUCCUCUUCAUCUUCUUGCAGUUUCCUACAAUAAUUUCCUCAAGGUGCAUAACAUCUCUGGGAACCACGUUUGUAAGGCUAUGACAAUCGUUUAUCUCUAGUUUUUUGAGAUUUGGGUACAGGUUCCCUGACUUCAACCCUGUCUCCGUUAAACAAGGCAAUCCAUUUAGAUACAAAUGACUUAAAGCUGGCAAUCGGCUUACAUCUAUGUUGCUAGCAUCUGUGCCUACUCCAGAGAUCAAUGAACUACAAUCACUUAUUCUUAAGGAUUGCAGAUUCGAUAGCUUAUGCAACAUGACAACUGGAAUUAUUGUUUGCAAUCUACUAAAGCCUUGUACUGAGAUGCUUCUUAGUUUGCAAAAAGAGGAUUCGCAGUUGUAAUCCCUCUCCCAAAUAUCACUUGUAUCUUUUACAUUUUCGAUUUUCAAAUCUUUCAAUGAAGGGAAUUCAACCUGUUGAUAAUUGAACACCAAAAUUCACUGUUAUCCUACUACAAACUUUGGAACUUAAAUGCAUAGGCAUAAAACACAAAUGAGAUUUAUUUUACUUUUGUAGACAGAGAUAUAUAGUAAUAAUUAAAUUCAAACUAUUAUAUAAAAUCAUAAAAUACACAUAACCAAUUGUGCAUGACAUUACCCACUCCGCAACCAUGUCUGACCCACUCAAUCUAAUACGACCAGCCCUCAAUUAUGCUCUAGACAAGCACAAAAUGACAAAAACAAACGCUUAAUCUUCCCGGUCCCACCCAGACCCCAACUAUACCCAUCUGGGGAGCCACAAUCGGGCUAUUCACGAACCGAGUUAAGCCAAGCCGGGUUAAUUUUUUCCUGACGAGCCGAGUUUUAAGUUUUUUUUUUUCUGACGAGCCGAAAUUUUUUAUCAAACAAAAAUUGUGUUCGAACUCGAGCUCAUUAACUUGUUCGCGAACAAAUACAAGCCGAGCCGAGCCAGAAAAAAAUAAGGUCAAACCGCUAGUUGAUGCUUAAAAUAGCUAACCAAAUAAUUUUUUUUUUUUUUUUUUGAAACUUUGGUUAUUCCACUAAAGGCUUAAUGACCUUUUAGCCUUCAAAGUAUGGGUGGAAAUUCCGAUGCGGCCUCGAAGUUUAAAAACGUACCUUUCGACCCUCAAAGUAUCUUUGUCGUACCUUUUAGCCCUUUUUUAAAAAUACCGGUAUAAAUCAGAGGAUAAACUUGACAAUUCAUAUCCGGGGUAAAGUUUGGGUGUACCUUUUAACCCUUAAAGUAUACAUCUCGUUCUUUUUAACCCCUAAAGAAUACAUUAAAAUACAUUAGAUCUUCUUUUUAACCCUUAAUGUUUAAUGCCCCUUUUAACCCUCACGUGUGAAAUAUCAACUUUGUCCACCCUGUUAUAUACCGAUAUACGCCAUAAGGGUUAAAAGGUAUGACAAAAAUACAUUGAGGGUCGAAAGAUACGUUUUUAAACUUCGAGGACACAUCGAAACUUCCACCCAAACUUCAAGGGCUAAAAGGUCAUUAAGCCUUCACUAAAAUGUAUAUAUGUUAACAUUCAUACGGUUGGAUCGGUAAAAAAUAUUUUUUAAAAUAUGGAAACACCAAAUUAGGAUUAAACACUAGUUAGCGGUACUAGUCAAACCUCUACUUGAUUGUUAAAAUAGCAAUACAAAUAAAAUUAUUAUUUCCCGAAACUUUGGUCACAUAACUAAAAUCUAUAGAUAUAUUACAUAUUGAAUUCUGAUUUCAAUAUAACACACACACACACACACACACAUAUAUAUAUAUUAUAAAAACCCCCAAAAAAUAUUACAUUUUUCGAGUUUUAACGAGCCGAACUUGAGUCGAACAAGCUUGAGCCGAACAUACUAAAAGCUCGGCUCGAGCUCAUUUUCUUAACGAACUAUUUUUUGUGUUCGAGCUCGAGCUCUUAACGAGCCGAGCUCGAGUUUAUUCGCGAACAGCUCGGUUCGUUAAACACCCCUAACCACAACCCUACACAUCCUUUUUAAAACAUUAAAAAUAUUAAAUUAUAACUUUUACAAUAUUAAUUUAUAAGAUAUAAACAACUAUAAAAUGAAAAAUGAUAAUUACAUUAUAUUUGAUAUAAAAUUAUUCAAGUUAAAUAACUAUAAUAAAUAAAAAUAAUAAAAAAAUUAAUCAUUUAAGAUUUAACCGUUAUUUGCACAUAAUAUUUUUUGUUUAAAUUUUGAUAUGUAAUUAUUAAACAACCAAAAUAUUAAUAAAAAUAAGUGCUUCAAGGAUGACUAGAAAAGUAAAGGGUGGAGCGUACCAUAUUAUGGAAUAGAGGUUGAAACUGAGCAGAGGGCUGCAUCAUGGCGUCUUUAUUUUCACUGCAGAAGCUGCCGAGUCUCGGCACUUUGCUUAGCUCCAAUUCUUCUAAAUUGGGAAAGUGUAUGAUAUCUCCCUUGCUUGAGCCAUCAUUCAUUACUAUUGCUUCCAUCGCAGGGCAAUCUCUUAUUAUCAACUUUUGCAGCUGGGUGAGACGUUUUGCAACAGAGUUGCAGAAGAGGUAUCUUAAACCGGAGCAUUCUUUAAUUUCUAAACAGGUUAGAUUAGAAAAAGAUGUCUGCUGGCUAUGCUGAAUCUCACCCUGUGACAUCCUUGCCAGAUACUUCAUUUUGUUACAUUCUUCGAUGUAAAGCUUUCUCAAUUCUGUGAAUGCUUCCCGGUUGCUAUCGAAGAUAUUACUGAUCACAUUAAUAUCAGUGCGCUUCAAACUCACAUAUUCAGCCUUCUUUAUCAGACUAUUCAAGCUUUCUUCACGAUAGUCUUCCAAUUCAACCGAUGUCUUGUAAGACAGAUCUGCACUUGGGAGUCGAGAGUCUUGACAAGAUCCUUGUAACAGAACAUGUAACGGAAUCCACGGAAGAUGGUGUCAACUGCAGCAUCAGAUAUUCUGUCCACAAGUUUCCCCACGAAUGGAAUGUCAGAUAAACCAACCAUGAUUCUUACUUGCUUCUAAUUUUUUUUCCUGUAAUUGUGUAACAAGAUGCAGUAGAACAACUUAAAAUGCAAUUAAAGAAUAAGAGGGGAGAAGAAAAGGAGCAAACGGAACAGGAAGUCAAGCUGAGCACAGUGGAAAACUUUAAAAGAUGCAAAAGUAAAUGCCUAACACACAUAUAUAAUUAAGUAGUAAUUUAAGAUGCACAGUGGAAAGCUACUUUAAAUCAAAUAGUAAAAUUAAAAGAUGCACGGUGGAAAACUUUGCUGGACAAUAAUUCUCCCAACAUUAUUGAGUUUCAAAAGGUAUAAUUUAAGUAAGGAUUGGAUCCCUAACACACAUAUAUAAUUAAGUAGCAUACGUUUACCGGAGAAAAAUUUAUGAAAAAUUACUUAUAGGUUUCACGUCCAACGCUUUUUUCACAAUGAACAUAUGCUACUAUUAUAUCUUCUGGACUACCCUUUAAGUAAAUGGUAGACCAAUUGAGUUUCAGAAAGCAUCAAUCUAAGUAAAUGGGUGGACCAAAAAAGCUCUGCGGCAGCCUUGUUUUCUUAUCGUUCCAGCUAGUCAAAAUACAUUAAGAGCAUUUUUGUUUAAACUUUUAAGUUAAAGUUAAAGUUUCUACACGCGGUUUAAAGUUAAAGUUAAAGUUAAGAGCAGAAGAGCAGCAAGAAUGAGUGGUGGAUUCUCACUCUCAAGUUAAAGUUUCUACACGCGGUUUAAAGUUUAAACCGUACGUCUACACUUACGAGGUCUUGUCCUGUUGUCAUUUUGCAUAGCUUGGUGAAUCGGACUAUGGCACGGUGUUCUGUUGUUCAGUUUUCGUUGUUGAAUGGUGUACUGCCUAAGGACACAGCCUUAAAAAUUUUUACUAAUUGAAGUUUGGGAGGGUUAGGUUGUCCAAGUAUUUUAACUUCAUGGUCGGAUGUUAUUUUGAGUUUUAUAAAACUUGUUUCACAUGCAAUGCAAUCAAUUCUCCUUUGUAACUCAUUCAAGGUUGCAACAAUUUGUUUAUGUCUCAGAUGUAAUUUCAAAAAUGUUUGGUAAAACAACUGCAGUAGUUAGUUACUCUGCAGUGCUCGAUCAUCACCUCGGUGAUACAGUUUCCAUUACUGGUAUUGGGUAAUAAACAGAUUGGUGCUCAUUUUGGACUAGUUGAUGAAUUAUACAUUCACACAUUUGGACUACUCGAACGCUAGUAAUCUUUAUUUAUAGCCUCCUUUUUAAUAUUUCUUCAUAAAGGGAUAAUUAAAUUAUAGCUCCAUGAACUAUUGACGUUUUAUUGUGUAGGUUCGUGAAUUAAAGAUUCGGUAUUUUAGGUCACUUAACUUUUCUGUUUUCUUAUCUAAGUCCUUCCGUCAAAAAGAUUCUAACGGUGUUAACUAGGGUUCUUGACGUUACUACGGAUCCAAACAAUUUUGAGGGUGUUAGUGAUAUCCAAAUUUAAAGUUCAAGUAGUCAAAUUAAAGCUUGAAUCACUAGCGACACUCAUAUGACACCAAUUUUCACAAAUUGGAUUUAAUUUAGAAAACCCUAAACUAGACCAUAAAUUUAGGGUUUUUGAUCGAAUCCAGGGACUUAAAUUUAUAAUUUUUUUGAAUUGGAACUAGUUUGUGAAAAUUGAUAUCAUAUGAGUGUCGCUUGCGACUCAAACUUCAAUUUGACUACUUGAACUCUAAAUUUGGAUAUCACUAACACCUUCAAAAUUGCUUUAAUCUGUAUGAAACUCAAGAAACCUAUUUAACACCGUUAGAAUCUUUUGACGGAAAGAUCAGAAAACAGAAAAGUUAAGUGAUCAAAAAUACGGAAUCUUUACGGAAUCUUUUGUUUAGGGACAUAAAACGUCAAUAGUUCAGAAACUUAUAAUUUAAUUUUUCCUAUAAUUGACAAGAUGUUUAUGUAAAUAUAUUUUUAUUAGGUGUUUAAAUAAGUAUUUUAUUUAAGUAAGUUAAACCCAUUAAAAAUCUAAGUAAAAAUUUGAAUGAACAAAUAUUUUUCUUCCUUUUCACGCUACUUUUACUCUCAUAUCUCCUUUUUAUACUUUAAAAUCAAUGGUCGACCAUUACUUCACCAUUUUUUUUUCUCUUUUUCACUAUUUUAUGCAUAUUUCUUAGUCUUCUUAUCCAAACCAAACGUAAAAAAUUGGCUAGGACCAACAUUUGCGAGUGAAAAUGCAACUUCUUAUGGAAUUUUUGAAACAAAUGCACUUAAAUAUACGUGCACAAAGUCUAGAUUGCUAUGUUAACAAUUCUUAUAUUUUACUUUUUACAAAUAAUUUUGAUUUAAUAUUCAAUUUUAUUUUAGAGAUUUUGGUAUUAAAAAUAAAUAUAUCUUUUAAUCAAAAUAUUUUAAAUGGGGACUAUUAAUGUGAUUUUUAAAAUAAAGCUUUUAAAAAUAAAAUAUUUUGCUUUGACAUUUGAAUCACCUUUUUUUAUCAAGAAAAUUGAUUUCAUUAGUUUUCAACAAGAAACAUAUAUGGGUUAAGGGUUAAGGGUAGCUCUAGCUCAGUAGUAGAGUUUUGCGUUUAUGGUGUCCUAGUUCUUGGAUUCGAUUCUCAGCCAGAAUACUCAUUAGUAUCUUUAGGCUUAUGAAAAAGAGAAAAAAAGAACAAAUAAUACUUCAUUAGAAAUGUGCUGUACAGGCUCACAAGGCGUUUCAUCUCCGGCACGGCCAAGUCUUCCUCUUUAAAUGGUCUCUUUAUCUUGUCAUUCAGAUUGUGAAAUUCAUCCCCAUCGGUUCUACAUUCCCGUUUCCUAAAUUCAAGCAAGUGAAAUCCUCUGUCCUGGGACACCCAAGCACACCAAAAUAUCUUAGCAGGGGCAUGUUGAAAUCAUAGCUUUCAUCACGGCCAAAACUUUUGAGGUUCGGCAGAUCUUCAAGAUAAAUAACCCCGAGUAGAGGGAGUGUAAUAGUCUUGUCACUUAUGUCGUCAACCCUUGCAUCUUCCACAAUGACUUCUAACAAUCUGCAAUUUGAUACUUCCAAAUAUCCGAGUCGUUGGAGAUUACUGAAAACAGAGGACGUGAAAAGAGUAGAGAAUCCACAGUUUUUAACUGCAGAGAUUCCAAAGCCGGCAUAUAGCAGUUGUAAUUUGCACCGUGGAUGAAACUCUUCAGGGCUGGCAAAUCUCUGAGUCGAAGAGAUUCGAGUUUUGAGAGUGUGAUAAUCUGUUCAGUCGUACCAGAAGUUUCAUCUCCACUGGCAUACUCAAAGAUGGCUUCCAACAUUCUGCAAUUUGAUAAGCUCAAAAAUCGGAGUCGUUGGAGAUUCCUGAAAACAGAACACGUGAAGGCAGUAGACAAUCCACAGUUAUCAACUUCCAUAUUCCACAAAGCCGGCAUAUAGCAGUCGUAAUUUGCACCAUGGAUGAAACUUCUGAGGUCUGGCAAAUUUCUGAGUUCAACCGAAGCCAGUUCUAAGAGGCAGAAAAUAAUCUGUUCAGUCGAACCAGAAGUUUCAUCCCCCCUCGCAUACUUAAUAAUGCUUUCCAACAAUCUGCAAUCCUUUACUUUCAAGUAUGUUAGACUUUGUAGACUUCGAGAGGCUGAGCACAUGAAAAGAGAAGAGAGCCCACAAUUACUGACUGAAACAUCCGAUAAAUUUGGCAGAAGUAGGCACUCAUGAUUUGCACUGUAGAUUAAACUCUUGAGCUUUGGUAGAUCUUCAAGAGUAACUGAUUCCAGCUGAGAGAGUGUAAUAGUCUUCUUGUUCAUGCCCGAAACCUCAUCCUCCACAAUUUCUUCCAAAUGAGCACACCUUGAUAUCUUCAAAGUUUUGAGACUUAUCAACUCUGAGAAUGAAAAAAGAUUAGAGAGUCCACAAUUCUCAACAUCCACUUCCCUUAAAUAUGGGACAAGCCACCCAUAAUUUACUCCAUGAAUAAUACUUUUCAGCUUCGGUAAAUUUUUUAGAACAACCAUCUGCAGGCGAGGGAGCGUGAUAGUCUUCUUGUUCAUGCCAGACAUUUGGUCAUCGUCCGCAAUUUCUUCCAAGAAAGCACAAUCUGAAAUUACUAGUGCUUCGAGAUUUUGCAGACUUCUAAAGCCUGAUAAUGUAAAAAGAGCAGAGCAUCCAGAAUAUUCGAAAACCAUAAGCAAUUUUAGUCUGUGGAACCUUAAAGAUUUGAGGUCAUGCGACCAACACUUCCUCAAAAUGAGUAUUUCCAGAUUAUGUAAUCGAGGUUGCCAUGUAGAUGGAAGUUCUAUCUCCUUAUCACAACUUAUAUCCAAGUUCUUUAGUUGGUCGCUGAACUCUAUCAAUUCCAGCUUAAUUUCCUUGCAACCGCUAAUUUCAAGUGUGACUACAUUUGGGAAUUCAACCUACAAAAUAAAUACCUUUCAUUUUGUCAACUUUAUGAACGUUUCUUUAAAUAACAACUUUGUUUAUCAAAUAAAACUAUACAAUAUAACUAAAUUAUUUAAUUUCUAAUAAUGAAAUAGAGGAGCAAGUUUACAUAUUCUUCUAAUAAGUGCAUAGACAUCUUUAUAAAAUAAUUUAUUGGUUCCAACUAUGAUCUAAUUAUUAGAUCAAAAGUUAGUUAAAUCAAGCAGUAAAAUUACCUUCUCAACAUUCUCCAAAAUAAAAAUAUAUAUAUAUUAUUUCAAACAUUAAUUUCGCCUAUUCCGCCUACCGUUUUCUAUUGCAGAGUAGUACUUUCUAUUGCAGAGUAGUACUUCCUCCGUCCCAUUAGAUUGUUAACGCUCACCGUUUGCACGCAUUUUGAGACUCUUAGAAAGUAUAAUUCUAUAAUGUUUUUUUAAUUUAUUUAUUUUCUGAAUAAAAGUUUAAAUGUCAAACUUUUAUUUAGAAUUUUAAAAAAAAAAAAAUAUCAUUGAGACUAUAUUUUAAAGAGAUCUUAAAAAGCAAGCUAAAAAGUGAUGUUAACAAUCAACGGGACGGAGGGAGUAACUACUAACAAAAGAAUAUAGAAAAUUGAAGAAAUGAAUAUGAAUAUAGUACCUUGCAGGCAUCAGUUUCCUCACCACAAAAGCUGGUCAAGUUUGGCAAAAGCUCUAACCGUAAACACAACAAUUCUGGAAAGACUAGGACAUCAUUGAUUUCUCCUUGUUUAGCUUCCCCCACGAUCCUUUUCAUCUUCUUGCAUUUUCUUACAAUAAUUUCCUCAAGGUGCAUAACAUCUUUGGGAACCACGUUUGUAAGGCUAUGACAAUCGUUUAUCUCUAGUUUUUUGAGAUUUGGAUACAGGUUCCCUGACUUCAACCCUGUCUCCGUUAAACAAGGCAAUUCAUUCAGAUACAAAUGACUUAAAGCUGGCAGGCCGCAUACAUCUAUGUUGCUUGCAUCUGUGCCCACUCCGGAGAUCAAUGAACUACAAUCACUUAUUCUUAAGGAUUGCAGACUCGAUAGCUUAUGCAACAUGACAGCUGGAAUUAUUGUUUCCAAUUUACUAAAGCCUUGUAAUGAGAUGGUUGUUAGUUUGCAAAAAGAGGAUUCAGAGUUGUAAUCCCUCUCCCAAAUAUCACUUGUAUCUUCCACAUUUUCGAUUUUUAAAUCUUUCAAUGCAGGGAAUUCGACCUGUUAAUAAUUUCACACCAAAAUUUACUGUUAUCCUAAUAAAAACUUGGGAGAUUAAAUGCAUAGGCAUAAAACACAGAUGAAAUUCAAUUUAAUUUUGUAGACAAUCAAUUUUAUUAAACAAUCAAAAUAUUAAUAAAAGUAAGUGCUCCAAGGAUGAUUAGAAAAGUAAAGCGUGUAGCAUACCAUUCUAUGGAAUAGAGGUUGAAAUUGAGCAGAGGGCUGCAUCAUGGCGUCUUUGUUUUUACUGCAGAAGCUUCUGAGUCUCGGCACUUUGCUUAGCUCCAAUUCUUCCAAAUUGGAGAAGUGUAUGAUAUCUCCACUGCUUGAGCCAUCAUUCAUUACAAUUGCUUCCAUCACAGGGCAAUCUCUUAUUAUCAACUUUUGCAGUUGGGUGAGACAUUUUGCAACAGAGUUGCAGAAGAGGUAUCUUAAACCCGAGCAUUCUGUAAUUUCUAAACAGGUUAGUUUAGAAAAAGAUGUCUGCGGGCUAUGUUGAAUCUCAUCCUGUGACAUCCUUGCUAGAUGCUCCAUUUCGUUACAUUCUUUAAUGUGCAGCUCUCUCAAUUCUGUGAAUGCUUCCGGGUUGCUAUCAAAUAUACUACCAAUCACAUUAAUAUCAAUGUGCUUCAAUUUCACAUAUUCAGCCUUCUGUACCAGACCUUUCAAGCUUUCUUCAUGACAGCCUUGCAAUUCAAUCGAUGUCUUGUGAGAGAAAUGUGCUCCUUCUUGAGGUGACUCACCCACACAAAUUUUAAAUAAUGUUAGAUUAUCAAAUAUAUUAGUAUUUUGAAAAGGCUCAGAUAUUUUAAAUUUUAUGUGCAAACUUUUCAAGUGGGUUAGUUGAUUAAUCUCGACCAAAAUAGGUUUCGCCACAGCAGAACUAUCAUCACUCCAAAUCUCAAAUCCAUCAGGUAUAUGCAAUUCUUCCAGCCUGAAUAGGCUGGAUAUGGUAUUUGGCAUGAUUUUCACUCUCAGCCCAAUGAUUUC